RNAcentral lists this long non-coding RNA (81141 nucleotides) under Medicago truncatula (barrel medic). Its description in RNAcentral is "long non-coding RNA (MTRU_LNC001615)". Lineage: Eukaryota; Viridiplantae; Streptophyta; Magnoliopsida; Fabales; Fabaceae. The record is from RNAcentral.
UUAGAUUUUUUAAGCAAUAAAUUAACGCAAUUUCCGAUAACAUAAUUUCUAUUAAGGCACAAGUUAACAUUUCCCUUAUUGAAAUUCAGAAUUAAUCUUUAUAUUAGGACAUAAUUAUUGAAAUUCAGAAGAGUAAUCUUUGUUGGGUAUGUGAAUGGAUAUUCACAUCACAUCUGUCGGGUCACUGAGGGGAGUUGGAGGACCUUUCACAUCGAGACUUGAACAACCACAUAAGUGAGAGAGACACACACUCUUACCAAAAACCUCAAAGUUGUUGAAUUCCCUCAAAACAUUACAUUCCCUUAAAACAUUCCCCCAUCCAAAUACACUCUAAGGCAAUGAAUAUAUGGAUCCUCUCACUUAUAAAGUGUUCAACCUCCACUAUUUUAUCUGAUGUAGAACAUAUAACUCACAAUUGCACACAACAACAACAUCCAUGUUACAAAUAAGUGUUCCAUAUGCUUUUUAAAUUGUACAUCCACACUUGAUGCAAGGAAAACAAUUUAAACCUAUAGUUUUAAAUUACUAUAAUUUUUUAUCACACAUAUUACAACAUAAUUAUUGAAAUUGAGAGGAGUGAUCUUUGUGUAUGUGAACAGACAUUCACAUCACAACUAUAUUUCAAACAGCAGUACAAAUAGGAGUACCAUCUGCUUCAUAAAGUAUACAUCCAAUUGAUGCAAGACAACAAUUACAUUUUGGGUAGAGGUGUUGACCACCUGUAGAAGGGCAAGUCAUGUAUGCAACUGUAUCAUAACAAAAUUGUGGGCAAAUUUUUUGUGCAUCAACAUUUUUCAAAUUCCCUCCUGAAAAAAUUGCACCUGGGAUCAUAAAAAGAAAGUCAGAUUGGUAUAUAUAUAAUUUGAUCAAAUAAUUUUUAUUUUCAGAAAAAAAGGAGACUCUAAUUAGCAUCCUCACCAAAGUUUAAUUAGGUAAUUUUCAUCUUAGGUAUGUAUUUAAGUUAGACUCUUUGUCCACGAUUUAUAACUCAACCUAUCUUGAGCUCCCGUUUGUUAUAUCAAACUUAAUUACUUAAACCAAACAGUUGAGUUCAAGUGUUUAAGAGUUUCACCAAAGACGAAUCAUUCGGGAGAAUCCGUUUUUGAUUUCUGAACUGAACAAUUGCUUUAUUUUUUUGAAGGAGCCUUAAUUACUUAAUAAUUAGACCUUUUUAUUUUUCGAAAAUACUUAGCUAAACAUAUCAUUUUUUAUGCCGAGCAUUUUUUUUUACGUUUAAUGCACCGGUUUCUAAAAAUAUAUUCUAAAUAUAAUAUAUUUUCUUUUGAACAAGUCAAACUGAAACUAUGUAACAAACAAAGGCUCUCUCAUAUAAUGUGAGAUUUAAAGAGAGAUAAAAGAGUUAUGAGAUAGAUGGAGAGGAAAAUGGAACAAGACGAUCUAAUUCAAAACUCGAGAUAAGAUGAAUGCCCUAAUUAUGUUUAGGACACAUGUUAGUUUCAAUGUUAAGCUAAAUUCAGUUCAAUAUCUUUCUAUAUCUAUAAAAAAACAAAGUAUAGCAUAAAUUGCAAAAACAACUACUUAAAAGAAGAAGCAAAAUGAAAAAAAAAAACUUUAUGUUGAAGGAAGAGAGAUGGUGGGUUCAAGAUUUACCACAAACGAGGACAAGAAGGAUAGUCUCAACCUUUAAAGCCAUAUUUCUUUGCAAAACUGGUGAAACUUAUGUCUCAUAUUUAUAGCAUAAAAAAAUAUUAACGUACAUAAUCACGCAUAGAUUAUUGAACUAAAUCAAUAAGAAUAUUCGCAUGGAGCAAAAGUCAGAUAAAUCGUAAGCAUCAAGGGUAGGUUUAAUGAGGAAGAUGCGAUCAAUAAUAAAACAUAAGAUAGGAGAAAUGCCAACUAAUGUGAUCGGAGACACUCAUUAGAAAAACCUAUAAAAUAGACUUAAUUGUAGUUAUGCUGAAAUUGAUUCUCUUAUUUUAUUUUAAAAUCUUGCAGUUUUGUUCUCCUUCAUAUAGUCUUUGACUAAAAAAAUAAUGACAUGACAUAUUUUAAAUGAUAUGCGACUCAACAUGGUGGUGAUAUGGAAUGAUAAGCACAUAAUUAUUCUAAAAAGCCAUAUCUGAUCUCAAUUUAAUAUCUGUUGAAUUCAAAUUUGUUAACAAUAAAAUAAGAUAUUCAAUCCUGUCUUUUUUUUUUUUCUCUUUCUUUUACAAUAAUUCAAUCCUCUAUUAUACUUUAUUAUAUCCAUUCAAUUAAGAGUUUUAUUUAAAAGUCCGUAAAACUUAAUUAACUCAACUUACAACGUCGAAAUUGUUAGGUUGAAUAAUUCAAUAUUGUAUGUGUGAAGUUGAUCAAGUUGUGUUUGCCAUUUUGUCCGCUAACCAAGACAAAAAAUUUAUCCUAAGAGGUAAGGUGUGGAGAGGAGUUGUUUGAAGGACGAAGGGAGGGACGUGUGUGCUUGGUGGAGGGAGAUGGUACAAAUUCGUAAUGGUGUAGGUCUCACGAUAUGGGAGGUUGGUUUAGGACAAUAUUAGUCCGGAGAUUGGGAAUGGAGAUAAUACAUUUUUUUUUGGAUGGAUCAGUGGUUUGGGUGAUUUAUCGUAAUGAGAUCGAUUUCAUAGAUUGUUUGAGUUGUCUAAGCACAAGUGGUUGUCGGUUGCAGAUAUGUUUUCGAUAGGCUGGGGUGAGGGUGGUGAUGCGUGGAAGUGGAGAUGUCGGUUGUUGGUGUAGGAAGGAGGAGCUCGUAGGGAGUGUAGGAUUUUACUUCAAACCGUAACUUUGCAGGUUGAACAUGAUGAUCAAUGGCUUUGGAAGUUGGAUCUAGCUGUUGGUUAUUCAGUUAGUGGUGAGUAUCAGUUUUUUACUAGCUACGCUCCUGGUCCAACUUCAUCAGUUCUGAAUCUCUUUUGCCAUAAACAUGUCCCCUUGAAGGUGUUGGUGUUUGCGUAGUGGCUCUUACGCAAUAGACUGACAACUAAAGAUAAUUUAAUUCAGCGUGGUAUUAUUCAUAAUGACUCUCGGCUUUGUGUGAGUGGGUGCGGUGAUCCGAAAACGGUUUCUCAUUUGUUUUUACAUUGCAACUGUUUUGGGUCCCUUUGGCAUCUUGUUCGUAAUUGGUUAGAAAUUUCUAGGACUGAUCCAACCGAUAUCUCAAAUCACUUUAUUCAAUUCGGCAAUAUAGCCGGUGGUUCUAAAGCGCGACGCUCCAUUAUGCAUUUAAUUUGGCUUUCUUGUACGUGGGAAAUUUGGAAACAAAGAAAUAACAUGAUUUUUAAUAAUAUGGAUUGCUCAACUGUUCAGAUUUUGGAGAAGAUAAGUCUCAUUCUUUUUGGUGGCCGAAGGCAAAUAACGCAACUUUUGCUUUUAGCUAUCAUAAUUGAUGGCUUAGUCCCAUAUUGUGUCUGGGUAUCAGAUGAUUCUUGUAUUUUGUGUAUUGUUUUUGCUCUUUUUCGAUUCAAGAACCGAAACAUGUAACGAAUCCAAGAACCAGCACCUCCUUGCAACAGGAACAAGCAUAACGUCUCUUUCGAGCAAACAGUCCAACAUCAAACAUGUAGAUCGAUGAGGGUUUCAAGUUGGCGUAUGAAUCACCUUUCAACGCAUAAUGAUGCAAAAUCCAUCCACUCCCUGCAAACCACAACAAGUUUUAAUCGCCCUUUCGAACUAAACCACCACAAAUCCAUUUGAAAACGGCGACAUGAUCCAAGGAGAAUCAACACAUACCGGAACUUGAACCUUUCAUCAUAGUAAACCGAUUUUCGAAAUUCAGUCACGAAGGAUUGAAACAGAUGUCACACCUUCCCCAAUUUCUCCAGCAUAGUGGAUGCAAAGGCUAAACUUUGUAAUCUGCAAAUCUCAACAGACCUGGGGCUAGAAUCAGGAAACGAAAGCAGUUGGAGCACAACACAACAAACAGUUGGAGUUCAUGACUUUGUUCACCCAAUUGAAUUCACACAAUUGAAUUUAAAUCACUCUAAUUAAUUUUAAUGUGACUUAUUUUUUUGAAGGUUUAAUGUGAAUUUUUGUUGUUGCAUUUUCUACAUCAAUUAAAAUACAAUUUUAUAGAGUACAUAUUUUAUGUGAAUAUUGAUAGAACAAUGUGCAAUAUUGAGUGAAAAACUAGUUUAUGAGAAAUUAGGGUUAAUCGAGAAAUUAAGAGAGAGAAGAGAAUUGGAAUUAAACUGAAUUUUUAUUGAUAGCAAUGAGUCACACUAUGUACAAAUUAUACUUGAGUAUAUAUACAUCAAGGAGAUGUAAUUAACUCAUAACAAACAAAACAAAAGGUUUUUUAAUCUACAAGUAAGCUAGUUAAGUUGUUCCUUAAUUCACAAGUUAACUAACUAACUAACUCAAAACUAACUUUAUUACUAAUUGAACUAACAUUUUAAUACACCUCCUAAUUCAUCAGGUACAGAUUUCUACCAUUCCCAACUCAUUCCUCAAGUACUGAAAGCUGCUAAUCUUCAAUGGCUUUGUAAGCAAGUCUGCAACUUGCUCUCCUGUCUUGUAGUGCAUAAUUUCUAGCUUGCCUUUGUUUACUUGAUCUCUUAGGAAAUGGAAACGUGUCUCAAUGUGUUUACUUCUUCGAUGAACAAUUGGAUGCUUGGCUAAGUCAAUAGCAGAUUUGCUACCAACCAUCAUUUCCAUCCUUUCAUUCUCCUUUAGCUUCAGCUCCACUAGUAACAUGUUAAUCCAUUGAACUUGACAAGCUGCCAUAGAAGCUACAAUGUACUCAGCUUCACAAGAAGAUAAUGCAACCAUUGAUUCCUUAUUUGAACUCCAUGAAACUGCAACAUUUCCAUACAAGUACACAUAUGCUGCACUACUUUUCCUAUCAUCUUUAUCUCCACUCUAGUUAGAAUCAGAAUAUCCAAUUAGUUCAUAAGUUGGAUUAUUCCGAUUCUUUGAGUAUUGAAUGCCAUAGUUGCAAGUUCCCUUCACAUAUCUGAGUAUUCUCUUAGCUCCAAUCAGAUGUCAAUUAGUAGUUUUCUCCAUGUAUCUGCUGAUUAGUCCAACUCCUUAAGCUUUGUCAGGUCUUGUAUGACGUAGGUACCUUAAAGAGCCUACAAUUUGCUUGAGUAGAGUUGAAUCAAAUUCCUUCUCAUCACUGAUCAGAGAUAGAUUUACUCUUGUGUCAACUGGUGUUGAGAUUGGCUUGCAAUCUAACAUCUUGAACCUCUUUAAAAUAUUCAAAGCAUACUUCUUCUGAUGAAUCACAAUGCCUUGUGAAUUCAUUUCAAAUUCAAUUCCAAAGAAGUAUGUGAGCUUGCCUAAAUCAGAAAUUUCAAACUGAUUCUUCAUAUUGCUUUUGAAGUAAUCCAUCUCGGUCUCAUUGUUUCCAGUUACAAUCAUAUCAUCCAUAUAUAAGCAAACAAUCAACUUAUUAGUGAUAUUCCUGCAGUAAAUGCCAUGCUCAUUCACACAUUUCUCAAAACCUUGCUGAAGAAGAAAGCCAUCUAUCUUCUUGUUCUAAGCUAUGGGAGCUUGCUUAAACCAUAAAAUGCCUUCUUCAAUCUAUACACAAGAUCUUCUUUCCCAUUUAUCUCAAAACCUGGUGGUUGGCUUACAUAUACUUCUUCUUCCAACUCACCAUUGUGAAAUGCUGACUUAACAUCUAACCGAUACAUUGACCAACUAUUGCUAUUGCCACAAUCAAUCUGAUUGUUUCCAUCCUGGCAACUGGAGCAUAAACUUAAUAGUAAUCUUGACCAUAUUUGUGCAGAAAACCUCUUGCAACUAGCAUGUCCUUAUACUUUUCUACUUGACCAUCUGGCUUCAGUUUGGUCUUGAAAACCCAUUUCAAAUCAAUAGACUUCUUAUUUUGAGGAAAAUGAACUAACUUCCAUUUUUUGUUCUUCUCUAUUGACUUCAAUUCCUUAAGGAUUGCUUCUUUCCAAUGCUUUUUCUUAAGUGCUUGCUCAACUGUGACUGGUUCAACUUCAGCAAGCAUAGCCAAUUGAGUUAUAUCUCCUUCUACAUUCACUGCAAUGUCAGGGAGCCUCACAGUCAUUCAAUCUAGAAAGUGGUUGAGUGUUUCUUGUAGGUCUAUGUGCACCUCCUUCAUUUGCAACCUCAACAUUUUCUUCUUGAUCUUCAGUUUCAUGCUCAUCUUCUUCUGAAUAAGAUAGAUACAACUGAUUUUCAGUUUUAUUUGGAGCCUUGCCCUUCCAGUUCCAGCUUCUAUAUACAUCAAACUUCACAUCUUUGCUAAAUACUACUUUCUUACUAUUUGAAUCCUAUAGUUUAUAGGCACCAGUUGAAUGAUAUCUAACUAGAAUCAUUGCUUGAGACUUGUCAUCCAGUUUUCUUCUCAUCUGAUGAGGAAUGUGUUUGAAACACAAUGAACCAAACACUCUAAGAUUCUGAACGAUAUGCUUCACUCCAGACCAUGCUUCUUCUGGUGUCUUAUCCCGCAGCUUCUUUUUAGGACUUCUAUUUAUGAGGUAUGCUGCAGUAGCAGUUGCUUCUCCGUACAAAUAAUGAGGUAUAUGUUUUUUCUUUAACAUGCUUCUCAUCAUGUUUACCAAAGUUUUAUUAUUUCUUUCUGAGAUGCCAUUAUGUUGUGGUGUAUAAGGUGCAGUCACUUCAUGAUUUAUGCCAUUUAAUGAGCAAAAAUCAUUGAAAUCAAUGGAUGUAUACUCACCUCAUCCAUCAAUUCAUAAUCUGCAAAUUACCUCACCACUUUCAUCCUGAACCAACUUUCUAAACUUCUUAAAAACUCCAAACACUUCACUUUUCUUAGCUAGCAGGUAAAUCCAUAACUUUUUGGUAAAUUCAUCAAUGAAUUUCACAAAAUAGCUAUUUCCUCCUAAUGAUUUUACCUCAAAUGGACCACACACAUCAGAAUGAAUUGCUUCAAGUUUCAUAUUUGCUUUGAAUGGUACCUCUGAUUUGUAUGAACUUCUGGCUUGCUUUCCUGUGCAACACAUCUUACAAAUUUCACUAGACAACUUGAUCUUUGGUAAACCUUGCACCAUUUUCUUCUCAUUGAGCAUAUUCAAGUCUCUAAAGUGGAUAUGCUAUCUUUGAUGCCAUAGCCAAUCCUCAGACUCAGUUUCUAAUAGCAUACACUGAUCCUCAAUCACAUUGAUAUUGAUCUUGAAGGUUCUUUUCUUUGACAAUGGAGCCUUUAGAAUCAAUCUUCUCUUGCUGUCAAAAACCAUCAUAGUUUGUUCCUCCAUUUUCAUAGUAUAGCCUUUCUGCAAUAACUGACCUAUACUAAUGAGAUUACUCUUCAUGUUUGGCACAUAUAACACACCAGUAAUGCAAGCUUUCUUGCCAUCUUUCCCAUGAAUCAUAACCUUGCCAAUUCCUUCAGCACAAACUAUUGUCUGCAAAUCUUAUCUUUCUAUUCACUAAAUCAUCUAACUCAGAAAACCAUGACAUUUUACCUGUCAUGUGCUUUGAGCAUACAGUAUCUAAGUACCACUCAUCAUUCUUUUCUUCAUCACCUUUAAUAGUUGCAAUCGAAAGAACUUCAUCUGAGUCUUAAUAUUCAUCUUGAGCAAACUGAGCUUCAUCACCUCUGUUCCUUGGCACUCUUUUGGAUCUACAUUCAGAUGCAUAAUGACCCCACUUUUAGCAAUUAUAACAUUGAAUUUGCUUCUUAUCUUUCUUCUUCUGAUUUGAUGCAGCCUUUGCUUCAUCUUUCUUGUUACUUUCCUGAUUCUUGCUAGAACCUUCACCAUUCUUAUAAGAUUUUCCCACCUUUCUUCAUUGCGUCUUUGUUUGCAGCUUGUUUCACAUCAGUUGCGUUUCUUGCCAAUGCUGGUACCCCAUCAUUAACAACUUCAAGAACAUCUUGGUAUCUGAAGAUCACCUCCAUCUUCACGAUCCAUUGAUCAUAAUCCUUGCCAUCAAAAGUUGUAGGUGUGCAGGGAAGUUAUUGUUGGUAGUUGCCAUCAUUCACUGAUUCUUCCAACAAUGGUGAUCAAAACCGGGCUCUUAGUACCAAUUUGAUAGAACAAUGUGCAAUAUUGAGUGAAAACUGAAAACUAGUUUAUGAGAAAUUAUGGUUUAGGGAGAAAUUGAGAGAGAGAAGAGAAUUAGAAUUAAAACUGAAUUUUUAUUGACAGUAAUGAGUCACACUAUGUACAAAUGAUACUUGAGCAUAUACAUCAAGGAGAUGUAACUAACUCACAACAAACAAAACAAAAGGUUUCUUAACCCACAAGUAAGCUAGUUAAGUUGUUACUUAAUUCACAAGUUAACUAGCUAACUCAAAACUAACUUUCUAACUAAUUGAAUUAACAUUCUAAUAAAUAUUUGGCCUAUAACAAUGAACCUCAUACAUGUAUACUCUCAAUUAUAUUGUUCUUUACAAACCAAAACAGAAAUAUUGUUAAAAUCUCUAUUGUAGUACAAUACAUAUAUGAAAGGAAAUCAUGCGUAGAUUAUUGAAUUAAAACAAUAAGAAAACUCUGAAGUUAAGGUUGCAGAAGAUAGCAAGAUUCAAGGUCUCAAGGCAAAGAAUUACAUUUUCCAAUCUAUUGAUAUAGCAAUUUUGAAAACCAUUCUUGUGCCCAAUAUUUCAAAAGAUAUAUGCGAUUCGAUCUAAAAGAAAUAUCAAGGUUCUGCUACAGUUAAGCGUGCUCAGUUACAAGCAUUUUGUAGAGAAUUUGAAGCUCUUGUUAUGAAAUAAGGUUAAUAUGUAAUGUGUACUUCGCAACUUGCGAUCGCUAACAAAACGACUGGUCAUGGGGAAAACAUGGAUGAGAUCCUGAUUGUUGAAAAAAAUAUUAAGAUCCAUGACAUAAAGAUUCGACUAUUUGGUGUGCGUCAUAGAAGAAUCCAAUGAUGUUACAAUUUUAUCCAUUGAUGAGUUACAUACUAGUUUACUUGUUCAAGAAGCAAGAAUCAAUGCUCAUAAGAGAAAGAUGCGGAGCAAGCUCAAAAGAUGUCUAACUCAAACAGAGGUUAUGGACGUGGUAGGGGUCGUGCGGGAUCAAGAGGGCGUGGAAGAGGAAGACAAAAUAAAAACUUGUUGAAUGCUACAAACGUCACAAAAACAAUGAGAGACUAUCAUUCAUUUGUUCCUACCAUGUGAUUGUUUGUCUAUUUCUUCUUCACCAAAGUUCUUCCUUUCCCCCACAAAUUUUGAUCUUAUUCUCUCAGUUUGGUGGUUUACUAAAAAAGAAAACAAUGUAAAAAGAAUAAAAGAUGGUGUUGCAGAGUUAUGCUUUGGGCGAUGGUGCUUGAAAUUAUUAUGGACAGAGAAAAGUGAAUGAAAAUAGAUUUUUCAUUAUUGAAUAGAGCUAGUACAAGUUGUAUAUAUACAAAAUAGUUUCUCUAUGUUAGCUUAUUAUGUGUAACCAACAUAAGAUUACUAAAUUACACACACUUAGCUAACUUUUAACUAUCUAACGAUUACUUGUUACACAAGUAAUAGAUUUCUAACUAACUGUUUCUUCAAAAAAAAAAAAGAUUUCUAACUAACUGUAACUAAUUGCAUAACUGCAUAAUGAUUACUUGCUAGGCAAGUAAUCCUCAUUGAACUUAUAUGGUGUCAUAGAAAUCGAAAUGAAUCAAAUAUUGUGCUAGAUAGAUGCUGUUUGGACGCGCAUUAAUAGAUGCAAAGAUUAUAUUUUCAGUGUCUUCUGUAAAAGAAAGGCAAAUAAUGUAGCUCACUAUUUGGCAAGAAUGGCACCUAGCUAGCUGGCCUCAGUCUUAUGGUUUCAACCAAAUUUCAGAGUUGAUUAUUAAUGAUAAACUGUGAGCAUUAUUUAGUCAAAAAUAUAGGUAAACAUAUAAUCACAUUCACAUGUAAAAUCUAACAUCACUUUUCAGGUAAACAUAUAUAUUAAUUACCCAGUAGUACAUAACACCCUUAGUUACAUACUUACAUCUUUGUUUUUAUAACAAAAAUAUAUACACAAACUUGCUUGCUACUAAUUUACCAACUUAUCUUUUUGACAAAAUAUAGUCAUCAUUUGUAGACAAUUACUUGCAUAGUCUACAAAAUUACACCAUAGCAUCACAAAUUGUAAACAAAACAAACAUAGUCUACUAUAUCAUCUUAUCUUAUAAGUUAUAGCAUAAGAAAAAGAAACAUUGUAGACCUGAACCACUUGUUUCUGCAACCUUGCUAAUCAAAUUCAAGUAUGACAGAAGAGACUUCUUUCUUAGACAAGUACAGCUUCUCCUUAAAUUCUUCGAUGACUGGAGAUUUUCCCUUCCUCCCAUUAACAAGGGAGAAAUUCAUCCUCUCAAGCACUAUACAAUGUUCCAUAAAAAAUUUGGCGCAAAACAGCUCAGGCUCUGAUACACGGGCAUUAUCAAAUUUCACAACCUUGAGAGUGGAUGCCAAGCAAUUGGGCACAACAGCAGAAUUCAGAAGCUCUUGGUUGAAUUUAGAUAUUCCCUACAAAGUUAUAAUCAAACAAAGUUCAAAUAAGAGGGAGAUAUUAAAGGUUAAAGUAUGGAGUAAUAAUCAUUUUAGUCACUGAAUGUUUGACGAGCAGCCACAAUGGUCUCUCAAUGUAUCGAAAUUCAAAAUAAUCCAUGAUUGUGCACUUCGUUAGUCAAAAUAGUCUCUGACGUUAAAAUAGUCCCUGAACGCCGACAUUAACUAUUUUUAUAUAGGAACUUAUAGGGAAUGAUAUGACAAUAAGUGUAUCGAGGGACUUAUAUGACAAAAUUAACGAAGAAUUUUAGCAUAAAGGACUAUUUUGACUAACAUAUUGCACAAUAAUGGACUAUAUUGAAAUUUCAAUACAUUGAAGAACUAUUGUGGCUACACAUUCAGAGACUAAAAAUGACUAUUACGCCGUUAAAGUAUAUUAAAUAUGCUAAGUACCAACCUGGAAAACUAGAGUAUUGAGAAAUGGAGUCUUUUGAAGAAAGCUCAUCAAAACUUCACCACUAACAAAGCCAAGAUCCAAAUGGCUUAACAUUGCAAAUGUAGGUAAAACUGCCAUUUUUUGUUGUGUGAGAGCCUGGAUGACAAACAUUAAGAAACACUAAGUUGGUGCUACUAUUGACUAAAUAUUACUUAAGUUGUUUGUGUAGGUUAUAUAAAUUGAUAGCAAGUUUUCUAUAUAAAAAUAUAUAUUGAUAGCAAGUUCUCGAUCGACGUUCAUAAUUAAAUAUCUUGAUCUCAUGAAGAAUAUAUUCAAUGCUUAGCACCAACUUAUGUUGCAACAACACUUGGUAUAUGUUUGGAUUGACAGUGAACUUUGCAAAAUAAGAGUGGCACCGCAAUUUGGUAAGCUCCAAAGAGUAGUAGCUUUUGCAAAAUAUACAUUGUUUCACCAAUGAUUAUGUCAACCUCACCAUCAAUCCAAACAUGUACGAAUCAAAGGCAUGUCGUGGUGUCUGACAGUGACACAUAUAAUUACAUUCAAUCAACGACGCUCGUAUAAGUACCAAUGCCGUGCUUAAAAACAUGCGCCUACAUAUUCAUGAUUACAUUAGGUUAGAUGAUUUAGUAUUACCUCCCCCCAUAUAUGAAAUUUGAUACACUUCACUUGACUGAAUUGUUUAAGAAGGAGACAAGCACUUGAUCCAAUUUCUCGAUCAACAAUACUCCCACGCUUAUAGAUAAUGAUGUUAACAUAAGCAUCAUAAGCUACUGAUGGAUUCGACAAAACAAUGGGUUGCAUUAUGCCAUCAUGACCACAAUAAGUGAAUUCUUUCAAACAUGAAGCAGAAAAUUUGAUUUUGCAGCUACGUAGCUCCCGAGUCAACGGCUUAAAGUCUUCUUUUAUGCAAACAGUUUUAAGCCGAGGCGCUUCAACAGUGACAUCAUAAGCACUUAACCAUAAGCAGUUUUUUGUCUUAAACUUUGUCAAUACUGGUAAAUGAAUAACUAGAGAUUCCUCAAUGGUAAAUAUAAUAGCACACAAGUUGAGAACUUUAAGGCUUCCAAAAGUAAAAUAACCAUAAGAACUUGGAGGAACUUUGAUAGCACAACAACACAUCUUAAGCACCAAUUCUUCUAAAUAAUUGGAAUGAUAAAAAAGGUAGUGAGAUGUAAGAGUAGAGAAUGGGACUUCACAAAUUGCAUUGAUGCAAAUUUUCUUUACACAUUUCUCCAAUAUGCAAAAGAUCCAUGCAUUUAGAAGAGAUGCAUCAUAGUCUUUAGUGAUGACAAGUGAUAAACUUUCCACAUUGUUUCUUGGUGUAAAAAGAAGAGUCCUAUUCACAAAGUUUAUAAAGUUUUGUUUUGCACCUGAUUUAUUCCUCCUUUGAGAAUAGAACACACCAUCAUCUAAAUCUAGCUUGGUGAUGGAGAUCCAAUGGUUUAACCAUUUCUUAGAUAAGACACUUGUACGAACUGCAUCUUUUGUAGGAAGACAAGAUAUAAUGUGAGUUAUAAGUGAAUCAGGUAGAUUACUGAUUAAAUCCUCCAUUUUUCUGCAUUUUAAACACUAACAAAUAUCAAAACAAUAUGAUCAUGCAUUGCAUGCAUAAGAUCUUCUUAAAUGAAUCAAAUCUUUCAAAGAGAAGAAUAAAUACUCAAUCUCACAUGAAAAUGCCUCAAAAAUGAAACAUGCAAUCUUAAAAAGAAAAUGAUACUCACCUUUUUGAGUCAACAAGAAGGAAGAUGAGGAUUAAGAUGUUUCUUUUUUUUCUUUUCAGCAAUUUCCACUAGCCAAGACACUUCCCCAGUUACUCAUGUUUGGCUUGUAUUAAGGCUGAGCAUAAUCAAAGUGAAAGGGGGGGCUAUGUAAGAGAGCUAGCUAGCAUGUGUGAUCGAUUGACAUGUGAGUCUAUGACAUUAACAUAGUAGAUAGCUGCUAAAUGUCCUCUCCUACACCUUUCUUAUUACCAUUUUAUUUCAAUAUAACAUUUUAUUUUUUCUAUUAGAUCAUCGGUCUAUCAUAUUUAUUACAUUACUUUCCCUUAUAUCGAGUAAGCCACUAAUUGAUCCAUGUCUUUUUAUCACACUUUUAAACGGGUGAUUGACUCUAUUAGUAUCUCAAAAUAGGCUAACUCUUUAUCAAACUUUUCUCAAUUUGAUACCUUUGUUAGUAUACUUUAUGUUGUUGGAAUAAGAGUGGUUCAUACAAUUCCUCAACCGAGUUGCCUACCAAACCCGCUCUCAGGGUUCACCCUUUCCCAUUCCUCAAGGAAUUUUCUUUAUUGGAUUAUUCGGGGUAUCGUCGUUGAUUAAGAAUUUGGUUAGACGGGGAUUCUACAAGCGCUCAGCUGGCUUUUAGAGACCACUUUGGUUUGUCGAUAUAUCAUUUUCCGUAAUUUGCUUUCUUUUUUGUUUCUCUUUUGGAGGAUUUUGGUUUGGUCUCCCGUCUUGUAUAUAUUUCCCCUUUUUUACUAUAUAUGUUACUAUGGAUUAGGCGACAUGGGGUGGGGGUUGCCCGGAGGUACCAACCAUGUUGGGAUGUCGGCGCCUCACUUAUUUCCUAUGUUAUUUUUAAGUAGACAUUAUGUUUCAAUGAUUAUUUUUUAUGUAAUAAAAAUAGUAUUUCCGUUAUACUAGUGUUUACCAGUGUUUUUGGUAAACAAUGUGGGCUGGUUUUAAGACCAAACCAGAGAUCCAAGGACAUGUUGUGCAUUUAUUUUUGUGUGUUCAUCAAGUUUAUAGGUUGCUUUGCGAACAGGACGAGACCGUGUGGUGUCUUUUGACAGGAAAAAAGUUUUAAAAGCAAAGUAAAGGCAUUAAGUUUAAAUUGCAGAAAUUUAAAUGAAAGGUAAAAUACAAUGCAUUAAAAAUAAAGGUGGUUCGACAAAUCCUUUACAUACAUUCUUUGUAACUCUUUUCCCUCGCGUCGGUAAGUCGAGUGUUUUAGAAUUCUGUAUAGGUGAUCUACGACCUGUUUUCCCUACGGAAAACUCUUAUUUAUACAUAGAAAAUGCAUGGAAAGAAACUAAUCCCACGAUCAGCAAUCUAAUCCUUCCAUUUAGACAACCACUUGUCUCCCACGUUCUCCAUUCAGGAAACCGUUUCUCUUUAGAAAUUCGAAUCUUCCCGCUUCAAAGGUCAUUGCUUGACUUUGACGGUUUUGCGUCUCUGACUCGUGUCUUGUCGAACCUUAAGGCUUCGAGAAUUUUUCAUGCUAAGUCCAACAUCUCGUUGAAACUCCUUAAGUUGAAGAAAAGACUUCAAUACCUGCAAGAGUAAAAGUCAACUAAUGUUGACCACUUUAAAUGAGGCUGGUGAAAAUACCAGCUAACAACUAGUUGAAAAACGAAAGAAAUAAAGAGAAAUCUUUGUUUUAGACAUUGACGGUUUGGUCUAUGUACUUUUUUUCGGUAGAGAUUGUUCCGUGAAUUUAUUUUUUAACAGUAUAGCGAUUAAAAAUUCAUCCUUUAAAAUAAAUAAGUAAAAAAUGAGAGGUUCGAACCUCGACCCCUACAUAUUAUAACGCAACUAUUAACCGAACUAUGUUCAAUGACCUUGAAAUUCAGGAUUUGUAUUCAAUAUUGAACUCAAAACACAAUGAAUUAUUGAAGACAUUUUUUUGACCCAAAAAAAAAUGAUAAUAUUGAAGACAUAAAGCAUGAAAGUAAAGCCUAGAGUAGUUGUAUUUUUUAUAAAUACAAUUUAUUAUAAUAUUUUAUCACACAUAUUACAACAUAAUUAUUGAAAUUUAAAAAGGUGGUCUUUGUGUAUGUGAAUGCACAUUCACAUCACAUCACAUCAAUCCAUAUCCAUAUUCAUAUUACAUACAAAUAGGAGUUCCAUAUGCUUUCAAAUGAUUACAAUUUUUUUAACAAACAUAUUACAACAUAAUUAUUGAAAUUUAAAAAGGUGGUCUUUGUGUAUGUGAAUGCACAUUCACAUCACAUCACAUCAAUCCAUAUCCAUAUUCAUAUUACAUACAAAUAGGAGUUCCAUAUGCUUUCAAAUGAUUACAAUUUUUUUAACAAACAUAUUACAACAUAAUUAUUGAAAUUCAGAAAAGUGUUACAUAGUUAUGUAUUUCAAUCAGCAGUACAAAUAGGAGUACCAUCUGCUUCAUAAAGUAUACAUCCAGUUGAUGCAAGGCAACAAUUGCAUUUUGGGGUGAGGUGUUGAUCACCUGAAGAAGGGCAAGUCAUGUAUGCAACUGAAUCAUAGCAAAAUUGUGGGCAAAUUUUUUGUGCAUCAACAUUUUUCAGGUUGCCUCCUGAAAGAAUUGCACCUGGAUCAUAAACAAGAAAGAAAAAAUUACUCAAAUGAGCAAUCUCACAAAAGUGUAGCUUUCAUCUAUUUUUUAAUUUUUCUCACAUAAACUCGAGAUGUAUGCAUUAAGUUUAGGGGAAUAAAUUUAGUGCAAUAUAUUUCUAUAUCUUUUUUCGAACAAGAAUAUAUUUCUAUGUCUAUACAAAGUUUACUAUAAAUUGCUAAAAGAAACAAAAACAAUAUUUAGAAAGAAAGAGAGGUUAGUUCAAGAUUUACCACAAACGAAGACAAGAAGGAUAGUUCCAACCUUUAAAGCCAUUUUGUUGUUUUUGGUAAAAUUGGUGAAACUUAAGUCUCAUAUUUAUAGCAUAAAAUUUAAGAACAUACGUAUAAGAUAGGAAAUCGUCUGUUUAUUAUUGAAUUAAAAAAAUAUAAAGGAUAGUCGCAUGGAGAAGCUCUAAAGUCUAACUAAACUGCCGAAGCAAAAGUCAUAUCUUUAUCCUAAAUCCAUUGAUGAUAAAAUAUUAUCCUAUAAAUUCAAUAUGGUAUUAUAAGAAAUUUCUCUAUGCAUUUACCUUUAUAAAAGAGAAUUUCAAAAAUCUGUUUUUUUUUUAAGAAAACAAAAUGAGAUAUAUUAAAACUGACAUAGAAUUAUGUCCGGUAUAAGGUGUGCAAGAUAAAGAACAAGAAAAGACAAGAUAACAAAAACUAGGUAGCAAAACUCAUACUAUGGAGAGGAAUCAUGGGUCGAACCCCUUGUGAUUGUCGCUUCAUCGAUUUACAUAUACAAAUGAAAUGCAAACCAUAUUCGAGUGUAGAUUAGAUCAGAUGUGAUAACAUAAGUCUCUUUAAACUUUGCUAGAAGUCUCAAAUUCAACCGCUUGAAGAUUAGAAGCAACAACGUCAAAAUUUAAUUUUCUUUCAAAAAAAAACAUCAAAAUUUAAUUUGUUGAGAUAGCUUUGUCAUUAUUGUACUCCUAUAUGAUUCAAGAAUCGCAUAUAACAUCCAAUUAACCCUGAUCAUUUGAUUGAUGCCAAUAAUAAAACGAAGUGCAUGAAAAUAAUGACACCAUAAUCCCUAUAUAUAACAUACUCUCACCGUUUCAAAAUGAGUGUCGUUUUAACUAAAAAGAAUUGUUUUAAGAUGAAUGAUACUUUCGGUUUUUAAUGAAAUAAUAACUUUUUCUUUUCAAUUGUACCCUUCAAUUAAUAUUAUAUAUACUACUUCCAAAGUAUUAUUUUCUCUUCAAUGAAAAACAAACCAAUAAUUAAUUAAGAUAAUUUGGUAAAAUAACAUAUCCCUUUCUUUUAAUUAAUGCAUUUUUUAAUAUGUGUAUAAAAACAUUUUAAAAUUUGAAACGGGAAGGAGUAGUUUGUAUUUACCUCUAUCUCUCUCCUACCUUUUUAUCUCUUAUACUUUACAAUUCAAAAAAUACACGCAAACAGUUGACACCGUAUUUAACAUAAAUUAUUUGAUGUCAAAAUAUUAUUCCUCUAAAAUUGCUUUCAAAGUUUCGAUGAUACUCAUCCAUUUUUUCUUAUUUUCUUUUUACAAUUGUGUUUGUUUAUAUUUGACUCAAUGAAAAAUAGCAGUAGCUUAUAGAGGAAAACUUUGUGAUAAUACGUAAACUCAAAAGUCAAAUUCAAGCCUUCGCGCUUAAGGUACAUGUAAGAGCUGAUGCAUUUGAUUAUGAGAUUUGACAAUUUAAACAAGGAAUGACAAUUCCACGGUGUAGCAUAGGUGGCAGGUGGACCACUAAAUUAAUAAAUUUUAUUUUUGCAAAUUUACUACUAAAUGUAAAUUUUACCAACAGUCAAGUAAAAUAGUGAAAUGUCCUCGUGAGCUUAGUCCAGUUGGUAGGGACAAUGAAUAAAAUAUGCAAGAUCUGAGGUUCGAAAACCCGCCACCACCAAAAGAAAAAUAAUGAAAUUAAAUUGCCAUUAAUAAUAGGUGAAUAAACAUAAAACUUCUUGGUCAAAGAAGCCCGAUUCUUUUCUUAUAGUCACUAAUAGUUAAUGUAAGAUGAUGUUUUUUCCCAUCAUUUUGAGGUACUUGAUAACCAAUUGUUGCUUCAAUUUUUUGUUUCCUAGCAAAAAAACACAUUUCUUCUUUGUUUCCUAGCCGAACAUACUUACCACAAGGAGAAACACAAAGAUUAAAAAAAUUUGUGUUCCAAGCAUGAGUCGGCGUCCCAUAGACACGUAGCCAAGCUCCACGUUCGUAACGGAAGUCAUCCGGUGACCAUUAGUGCACCUCUGAAAGAAACAUGCUAAAAUAAUCAAGAGCUUCAUUAAAUACUUCCCAAAUAUCAACAUUGUUCCGGCUGCGAAGGAAAGUUCUAUCACCUCCCAUCGGAAUAACCUCCAAGUGACUAAAACAUGUGUCAUCCAUACGUUGCUGAAUUGAUAAAGUAGUUUCCCCCGAUGCAAUCAUCGCCACAAUACCAGAAGCAACCCAAUCUCUGUCAAUUGGAUCGGACUUGUACUCACGCACACAUGGAGUAUUAUGCGCAGCAAGCUUCGUAGGCACGUCGAAAUUAUCCAUCUCUUCCUCGGUCACCCUAUGUGUUCGCCCCUUGUCAUCAACAUUCAGAAAAAUAGUAUCUACCUUCUUCCCCUCCUUCGGCCUCCACUCCUCCGAUAGCUUCAAAAGCAGUGAAUCUCCCAUCUCCAUCUCCCUCCUCCUCCCUUUCGUGUUUCCUACCACGCCAUUUACCUUCACCUCCACUCAACCCACUCUAACAUUUUUUCUCCCUCCCCGCUUUUCCCAUUACCUACAAUCGGUGCUACUCCCUCACCCAUCCUCGCAUUUUUUUCUCCCUCCCCAAGACCCUGAACCACCUCUUUUUCCUCAACCGAAACCUCCUCCUUACGCCUAGACAGCUUGGAUACUACAAGCGGUUUCUUAUCAUUGUCCGCAAACUAUAAGAUGACCAAACCACACAUUAUUCAAAGCUUUCGACAAUUUGUCUGCAUUCAUCAAGCUUAUUCCUCUUGCUACCCUUUUCAUUUUGUAAAAAGCUACUUUGUUUUAUUAAAUUCUUAAUUAAAUCAUUAGGUGAUCAUAUGAAAUGACUCCAAAUGAACAAUUAAAGAAUAAUAUGAACUAAAGUAGGUUAAUCAUCUUAUAAAAAAAAGCUUGUAAAAAAAAAUCUUAUAAAAAAAGGUGAAUAUUAUUUUAUGGCGGUUUUUUUUUUUUUUUUAUAAAAUGAUGCUUAGUUAAAUUCAGAACUCGACCAUAUGUUAGAGUAGUUAUGUUCAAAUCCAAACCAAUCCAAAUAAAAAAUGUAUAUUUAAUUCAGAAAAAUCAAAAACUGCGUAAAAUCAAAUAUCAUUGGAUGUGAUUCUAUAUUUGUUUCUUCUAAAAACUGUCUGGUUCAAAUUAUAUUUUGGAUUGAUUUUUCAAAAACAAACCACACGCAUACACAUAUUCUAAUACUUAUUUUUUUUAUUGAUAUGAUAUAUUUCAUCAAUCUAUUAUUCAUUGAUUUUUAAUCUUUUUAAAAUUAUUUAUUAGUUUUCUUUUUACUUUUUUUUAAGGAAGUUUACUUUUUACUAUUUUACAUGUUUCAUGCAUAUUGGAACAUUUUUGUUCCGUAAUGUUCCCCAACAAAAAUUAUAUAACACCAUUAAAGUAUUAGCGCAUAUUUAUUUUGUUUUUGAAAGAAGUAUUAGCGCAUAUGGGGGUGAAAAACACCAUGAACUCAUAAAUCAAUAUCUAGGAUAACAAAAUAAAACAUAAACUAUAUUGCAUAUGCGUUUAAUCGUUUUUAAUUAGUAUUUAUCAGUUAACUUUUUGUUUCUCCUUCAAAAAAAAUCAAUUAAUUUUUUAUGGAUAAUUAUUAACAAUUAAUUAUCAAAUUUGAAAUUAUUUUCGGAUUCUCAUAAACCUAUAAAAUAAGGCUCAUUCAAUAAUAAAAAACAGCACAAUCAAAUAUAUUUUAUUUAAUUUAUAUGUGGGGUCUGAAUUUUUAUUUCAAUUGCAAAAUCAAAAAGUUAGAAAAGGGUAGAAUCUCAACCAUUCAAAUUUUUUAUUAUUAUAUUUAAGGUCUAAAGGCCACCUUUCCCACGGUGGAAAAGGAUUCACGUUUCCCAUGGUAAAUAGUAUACCACAUUUAACUCAUCCUUAUAAAAUCGAUUUGUAAACGAUGCAGUUUUUUAUAAACUCUCUUUAGUCUGUUUUCAGUACAUUGUAUUACAUCUAGUAAUAUUGGAUUUAGUGCUUGAACAUAAAUAGCAUGUCGUUCAAAUCGAUAACUCUGAUACAAUAUUAAAUUACAUUGUUCUAGUGUAAUACUUUUGCAUUUAAGAAAGUUAAUUACAAAAUGUGAUUGCUCUCAAACUUAUAUGAAUGUUUGAGACCUUGCGUGCUAUACAAGUUGUUGUAAGUUUUAGAGGUUUCCAAAACCUUGUUUGAAAGGUAUUUCUCUUUCAAUCAAAAUCACUGAAGAAGUGAAGAUGUUUAUCAUACUGGUCUUGAAAAAUUGUUACAAUUAUGGAAACCUAUUUAUCAAUGGAAAAGAUUCCAUCGGGCUGGGGAUUUUUCGAAUUUCGAUUCUCAUGUAUUGAUGAUCUUAGAAGCGUCUGGUCGAAUGGUGCUUGGAACUUGAAUCCGGGUCUGUUGCGUUUAUUUCGUUGGUCACCUGAUUUUAAUCCAUUUAAUCAUAAUCAAACUCAUAGCCAGGUAUGGGUGCGUUUUCAUUAUCUUCCUCUGGAAUAUUGGCAUCCGAGAAUCCUUUUCGAGAUUGCAGGGACUAUUGGCACACCUAUUUUUAAUUGAUGAAAGAAAAAAAAAGUUUUAGAGGUCUCCACAGUGAAAUCGCAACUGCAAAUUGCAGCAGCAAUAUAGAACCCUGAUCUCAAAUUCUGAACCAUUAAAACAUAUAUAAAGAAGAAAAUAGAAUAGGUAAAGCAUGUAAAUUUUACAAACAAUCUAGUAAAAUAAUGAAAUUAAAUUGCCACUAAUAAUUAGUUGCAUUAUCAUAAAACAUCAUAGUCAAAGAAGCCCCAUUCUUCUCUUAUAGUCACUAAUGGUUAAUGUAAGAUGAUGUUUUCUCCCAUCAUUUUCAGGUAUUUGAUAACCAAUUGUUGCUUCAAUUUUUUGUUUCCUUGCAAAAAACACAUUUCUUCUUUGUUCUUCUCCACUACCAAACUUCUGAAGUUCAGCCAAUGAAAUUUGCAACUCAAAAUCAUGCAACAUAUUUGAUUCUGUUUCAACAUCCACAGGAGCAAUAGUAUCAGUCAACUUUCCUGCAUUAGCAGCUUCUUUCAAUGAUUCUUUUGUAGCCUCGACAUCGACUAUUUUAUCGUCCUUUUCUUCUUUACCAUCUUCUUCUUUACUCUCUUUACCUUGAUCUUCAUUGUAGUAGUUUCUUGACCUUGUCCACCUUCUAGAGAAAGGAUCAUACCCUUCCUCUCCCGCUUUCAAAUUCGCAUUCAUCAUAUUUCUAUGCUCGGACAGGUUUUUAUAAUUCUCAACACGAUUCUUUCUGUUCAUCUCCUCAAGCCUAAUAGCCUUAACAUUGUUCUCUCUCGCACGACGCAAUGCUUCCAAUUCUGCCAACUUUGUUUGAAUCCUCUCCAUCCAUGCCUCGUCGUUUUUACUUUCCGCUAAUUCAAACUCCCUCUUUAACUUAUCCUUUUCGACCGCAACAUUCAACGGCCUAGAAGGUGCAGUUUUUUUCUCCUCCAACAUUUGUUUCACUGUGGCGGCCGAGUAAACAUAUGUGUUUGUUUUUCUUAUAGCUUCCUUCUUUUCGAUUAUAUUUACCUUACUUGGCAUAUAGCUACAUGUUCUCUCGACUUCUCUAAUCCAAUGUUUGAACUCUUUCUCUAAUGGUGCAGAUUCAGAAACUACAGCAACUUGAAUUUUUUUAGCAGAAUUUUCACUUCCCCAAACACAGACUAAGUACUUAUGAGUCACUUUAUUUUCUACUUUGUAGUGUUUAUUAGGAUUACCACACUCAACUUUUUGAACCAUGCAGAGUCUAUAAACAGGUACAUUUUCCGAUUUUCCUAUACCAACUCUCACAAAACAACCAACUAUUAGUUCCUCAAAAAAUGGUUCAUUCAACCAUUUCACAAGCCUUGACCUCUUUAUGGUAAUUUCUUUUAUAUCUUCAAACGUCGGUUUAUCUAAAUCAUCCAUGUUCUUAUCAUCAUCACUGUCAACUAGUUCGCCGUCAUCAGAAGAAGAUUCUUUUUCACUUUCAGAUCUCACAACACUUUCACUUUCACUUGAGCUACUUGGACUAGUUUCUAAUGUUUCUGUCUUCUUUUUCUUCACUUCUGAUUUUCCAUGAUUGUCUGUGACUUGUUGCUUCAUUCUUUUCGCGCGCAAUUCGCUUAAGGCAUCGCCUUUUGCAGCUGUUUUCUCGGCAUUUCUAGCUGAUGAACGAAUCUUGGUAGAUGAAGGAAGAGGUGAUGAUUGAUUAUUAGAACUAGAAGCUCUUGCAGAUGAAUUAUUUUUUUCUCUCUUCAUUCUCAUGAUCAUUUUCUCUUUCACCUCUUUAUCGCCUUUUUUGGUUGCUCUUUCAGAUAAAAUCAUUUCUCUUUCGAGUUCUGUCAUCUUAGCAAGCCUUUUUUUGUCAUCUUCAUUCUUGUAAAGAUCACCACCAAUACCCUCAGAUUCUUCACUGCUAUCAUCUUCUCUAACACCAUCUUCACGAUCCGUCGAUUCAAUACCUUCUCCUUUGUUUUUGUCUUCAUUGCUACCUCUUUUGGUAGUUUCCAAUUCUAACCUCUUCUUCAAUGGAACUUGAGAUGUAAUUGUUUUUGGCCUUUUGUUUCCAUUACCAACACCUUUAUCAGAAUCUUCCUCUUUGGAAUCACUUUCAUUAUCAGAUAAUGAUGCAUCCUCGUGUUUCUGUCUCGUGUUUCGAAGCUUUUGUCGCUUUGUCACACCUGCUGCCUCUAGAAGCAAGUUUUCCAAGUCUGACAUCCUCUCUUUUCUUGUGGUGUGCAGUUCAAGUUAUUAUAUAUAUAUCAGUUUUCCUGUUAUGCAAGACAUCCACAAAUAUGCAAUUAGUUUUUUGUUUUGGAGUUUCGAAAAUCAUUGAAAUAAACUUCUUUCUACUUGAUUAUAAUGAAUGCCAUCUAGUUUGAAACGAUAUCUUACUCAUAAUAUCUAACUACAGAGACUAAUCUCUUAAGAUAACUAUGAUCAAUAUAACGAUUUGACUUCUCUCAACAUAUAUUUUUCUAUACACACUCAUCGGGGGGGAACCGCUAACCAAAUGCAUAUAUACUAAUAAAUAAAUUUAGGCUUUCCUAGACAUUAGUAUUGAAGUUGGAUUUUAUUCAUGUACAUUAUCCAUGUAAAUAUUUUUUUGCAAAUUUAAUCUAUCAUAAUUCUCAGAUUCUUCAAAAAUAUUUAACAUUAAUCAAAAUUACUUUUAAAUCACCUAUAUAUAUUUGAUUGCAAUUGUUUGACAAUAUCAAAAUUAAACACUGAACAUAUAUAUAAAUGUUGCAAUAAAUAUGAAACAUUGGCCUUUUAAAGUUCAACGGUGAUCAUAAUAUCAUAAUUACAUCUAAAGUCACACGUAUGAUCGAUUGUAAUUUUUUGACGGUGUCAAAAUUUAACAUUGAAGUAUAUAGAAAUGUUGCAAUAUAUACAUGCAUUCAAUAAAAGUGAAGCAGAUAUGGCAAAAAAGAAAGAAUAAUGAAAGAUAAACGAACCUUAGCCAGAGGCAAAUGUGUAAUGGAAUACCAAGCUCCCAAGGAAUGGCUCAGGUAAUCAAAUUCAACAUAUAAAGUAAAAGCUAAGUUGAUGGUUUGUGUCCUUUGAGUGGAUACCUUUUGUUGUGUUUCAGUCUUCUGUAGAGAUUUGAGAUACGAAAUUCAUGCAAUCAAAACUCAGUAAAAUAAUUAGAACUCACUAUUUCUGGAAACUAACUCCUAUAGUUACGUACAAAUUCCACACAUAUUGUUUGACUGCUUCUUCCAACAAAAUAGUGUAUUUUUUUUCGGUAGAUAGACGAAAUGGCAAAGUCAUUAUAAACUCACACAUACAAGUGGAGGUACCGGGGUUCGAACCCCUGUCAUGGUAUCUAGCCUAACAAUUUCGGCAUUAUUCCAGUUGAACUAGGACGUCUGGAUAAAAUAAAUAGUGUAUUUUCUAAUGGGGUUUUCGGUGCAUGUUUGUAUUACAGAAAUUAUAUGACAUUUUAUUCUCAACAUUAUUAUCAUCAUGUUAUAUAAAAUUCUAUCAGUUUUUAUUGUUGAAUUGUUGAAUUAGAUUGUGGACUCCGUUUGUAGUGUAUUUUGUUUAAGAAAAGUUUAGAUUGAAAAAAUACUAUUGGAACACACCAUUUAGGUAACAAUACGGAAACCUACACUAUUCACCAUAUUUGUACGGUGAAAAAAGUUUUUUGCUGUCACUUUAUUUUGUUUUAUGUUUUGUUCGACAAAACUUAUUUUUUAAUAUAAAUGAGGAUUUUUGUAACACAAAAUUUGAGUUGAAAAGUGUAUGUGUCUCAUUAUUGUUAAAACGGUGUGUUAUUAGCUGAGUUGCGUGCUAUCAGAUGCGACUGACAUCGUUCAUAUUAGAGAUUAUUUACAUGGAAAUGGAAAUACAACAUUGGUGCAUGUUCUUAGGAACAAAAUAUGUGUGCAGAUUUUAUGGCUAAGGAAUGAUCAAAUGCAAGGUGCUCUGCUCACAUGCUCCGCCAGGCAUGGAAUCUCUUAUCCUGAGAGAUAAGCUUGAAACUUAAUUUUGUUUUUCCCUCUUUUUUUCUUUUUUUGCCUCGUUACAUUGUAACACUACCAAAAAAAAUUAAAACGCUGUGUUCCGAUAGCAUUGCCGAUAGAAAUUAUGCAUGCCAUAUAAGCACAAUGUUUUGUUUAAUGAAAGUUUAAUUCGUCUUAAUAAAAAUACUCACUCCGAUCUAAAUUAUAAGCAAAAAUUAUAUUUUCAGAUUUGUUUAAUUGAUGUAUCUCAUCUAUAUUAUAAACUAGAUACAUCAAUUAUUCAAUAAAUUUCAAAAAUUGAGACAAGAGGGAGUACAUGCUAAAUAAGUACAAUAUUUUAGCUGUCUAUUAACUAUAAUUUUUCAUUCUUGCCCGAAAAAUAAAAAUCUAUAAUUUUUCAUAAAAUAAAAAAAAACUAUUGAAACCAAAUGAUUGUACUCAAAUGAUUGAUAAACUACACCAAAUGACGAAUUGUUCAAAAGAAAUCAAGUUCAAUUAAUGAGAUGUAAGUUGAAGAACUUAUCGGAAUAAGUUUUGGCGUGAGUAUGUGGAUAUGAGGGAAUUUGAAUUUGUUGUAGAUGAAGGCAUUUCAGAGACAAUAAAAAUAGUAAAUAUAUCAUAUUCUCUCAAAAAAAUAAAAAAGUUAAUAUAUCAUAUAGCAUCAUAUCAACCAAUGAUAAAUAUAAAAAAGUAAAGCUUCAAAGACAACUCAUAAUUAAAACCAUUCAUUGAUAUCAACAAAUGAUAAAAAUCAAAAUGUAAAGCAGCUGACCUCAAGAGCCUGAAAAAAACCAGUCCAAGCAAAGCUGAAACCGAAUCUCCUGUUCAAAUAAGCAUCCAUUAAUGUAAAUAAUGUGUCUACCUAUUUACAAAAAAUCUAUAAGAAUACAUUCUAUUCAACCUUUGCAAAUGGUUAUUCAUUUCCUUUCUUUUCCUUUCCACAAACAACAAGAAACACUUUAAAAAUAACAUAAAGGAGACUUAUUUCCAUCUUUUCUCUCUUUUACCAUUGUUUUGAACAACUAGAUUUAACUGGCCGGGGAAAUUCCAUCUUCCUGCAAUCUAUUGUCUCUCAUUAGUGCUGCCAGGUGCUUCAAAGCAUGUGAAAUUUCAUCAGAACUAGGAUGUGACAUAUCACUGGCGACAAACAAGUUGGUCGUUUUGUCAACUACAAUCCAGCUACACCCGGGCGUUUUUUGAACUUCAUUCUGUACCAUUGUUCUCCUUAGAGAUUUAGCUUCAUCCCAAUGUCCUGAUCCAGCAUGCAUAUUAUAAAGUAGUACAUAUGGAGAAGAAUUUUGCGGUUCUAACUCGAUAAGUUUCUCAGCCGCUCUCAGUCCCCUUUUUUCAUCUCCAUGUAUACUGCAAGCACCCAAUAAAUUAGCCCAAAUCAUUGCAUUGGGUUCCACAUCUAGUUUGUCAAUGAACUCUUCAGCUUCUUCAAGAAAACCACAUCGACCAAGUAGAUCAACCAUGCAAGCGUGGUGAUCUACUCUCGGGUGAAUGCUGUAAUAGUUUACCAUGUUGUCAAAAAUUUGUCGACCCUCAGAAACCAGCCCUGCAUGACUACAGGCAGUGAGCACUCCAAGGAAUGUGACAUCAUCCGGUGAAACAGAUGAUAAAGUCAUCUCAUCAAAGACCUUCAGUGCCCUUUCCGCAUAACCAUUUUUCGCAAACCCAACAAUCAUUGAAUUCCAAGAAAUCACAUCUUUUUUUAUAGGCAAUUCUUCGAAAACUUUUGCAGCACUUUUUACAUCUCCGCAUUUAGCAUACAUAUCUACAAGGGCACUGCUGGUUAAUUCAUCUAAGUCAAAACCAGUAUGGAAAAUCAGAGAAUGUAUCUCUUGACCGUCUUGCAGCGAGGAUAAGAGGGCACAGGCUCGCAGAACGGUAACAAAUGUUGCUUGGUCUGGUAAGAUAUUGUUGUCACGCAUUUCUCGGUACAAGUUUAAGGCCUGAUCACUGCAAUCAUUUUGAGUAUGUCCAGAUAUUAAAGCUGUCCACAGCACAAUGCUUUUAAGGUUAGAUAACUCCGAGAAAAGAAUGUUCCCUUCAGCCAACUUCUGUGAAUCCAUAUACAUGCCCAACAAAGAGGUACCUAAGAAUUCACUACCACAUAAAAGACCAUUCUUUAAUAUAGCACAAUGAAUCUGCAUCCCUAAAAUCACCUUAGGAGACUCCUUACAACAAUCUAUGAGGGAGGCAAAUGUGAUUUCAGAUGGCUUCAAUCCCAAUAUCUGCAUCUCAUGCAGAAGAUUAAUUGCUUCUUUUGUAUCUUUUAUAGCAUAUCCUGCGAUCAGAGCAUUCAUUGAGACCACACUCCACUCGGGCAUGCAAGAAUAAAUUUUACGCGCAUCUUCGAUUCCCCCACACUUGGAAUACAUGUCAAUAAGAGAGCUUCCAGCGAAAAGGUUUGUGUCUAAACCCAACUUAACUGAAAGGCCAUGGAAUUGCAGUCCUGCUUCUAGUACCUUAAUAUUUCCACAAGCACUGAGAAUACUGGCCAUGCAUACCUCGUCCGGUACAACGCCAUGUCGAUUCAUUCUCCGAAACAUGUUGAAAGCUUCAGUUUCCUCUUCUUCUUGCACGUAUCCAACAAGAAUAGCAUUCCACGAAAUAUUAUCUCGAUAUUUCAUGCGCUCAAAUUGUUUUCUAGCUUCCUUCAAAGCCCCAGCCUUAGCAUACAUAUCCACCAAUGCAUUGUUCACGCAUAAAUUAUCCGUAAACCUUUUCUUGAUAAUAGUUGAAUGCAACUGGCGACCGAUAUCUAAGAAAUCAAAGCACGCACAUGAACUCAAAAUGCUAGAGUAUGUAAACUCAUCCGGGUCAUUACCACACCCCAUCAUCUCAGAGAACAACUCCAUAACAUCACUUAAACAACCAUUCUGCGCAUAAACACCAAGAAUGGUAUUCCACAUAACAACAUUUCUAUCACACACAACAUCAAACACUUUCUUCGCAUCACACAGCAUUUCACAUUUCCCAUACAUAUUAAUCAACGAACUCGCCACAUAAACACUCGACUCAAACCCUAAUUUAACCGCCUCCCCAUGAACCAACAAACCACACCCCAAAUCACCCAAACCAGCAACCGCACUCAAAACACUCGCCAAUGUAGACCUCGACGAUAUCACACCAUUCAUCCUCAUUUUUCGAUAAAACUCAACCGCCUCCUUAUGAUAACCUCUCUUACCAUGACCAGAAAUCAUAACAUUCCACGCAACAACAUUACCACAACCAUCCAUCUCAUCAAACAAUUCACAUGCGUGAUCCAACUUCCCUAAAUUCACACACGCAUUCAAAACCGUCACAAUCACCAAUUCAUCCAAAACAAAACCACUUUGCAUUUCAUCAAACAGUUGGAGUGCGUCAUCAAACAUCCCAACACGAACAUAACCACCAAUUAAAGCAGUAAAUGUAGCUGUGUCGAGAUUGUCUAACCUCGACACAGAAUUGAAUAAUGUUCGAGCGGAGUUCAAACAUUUGCAUUUAGCGUAGAAAUGAAUGAGGUGACGUGUGAGUAACGUAUCGGAUUCGAAUCCGUUUUUAAUUAUGGAAGUAUGAACUGAUGUACCGAACUCGAGGUUUUCGAGUUUUGUACAUGAUGAUAAUGUUGUUGAGAAUGAGUUUAUUAAUGAGGUGUAAGUUUGUGGAAGGCGGGAGUAUGUGGAAAUGAGGGAAUUUGAAUUUGAGUUGGUUGUAACGGUUUGGAGUGGCAAGUGGGUAUUGGAGUGAAUGAGUUUGGGAAAUUGGUUGGUUUUGAAGAAUUGGGAAAUUGGAGAGUGAAUGAUGAAGCUCAAAUGAUGAGUAGUGAGUAAACAUGUUGCUCUAACUGCUACGCGCAUCUAUGUUGUAUCUGCUGUAGGUGAGUAAACAUUCGUUUGUUUGAUGUGUUCACAAAAUCACAGCUCCUUUUUCUCGGCGGCGGGUAUUCGUUUUUCCCCUAAUGCAGCCGCACGAGUUUAUGACUUGAUGUAGCGAAUAAUAGUCAUUUUGGUGGCACAAUGAUCGAUCGAAAUUUCAAAAUACUCAUUAAUAAUACUUUUUUUUUUUUUUGUCAAGUAGCCUAGAGCUAGAGCUCACACAUUUUAAUUGUGGAGAAGUGAGGUGUCCGGGGUUCGAACCCCGGCCCCUGCAUAUAAUAUGCAAUAUCCCUAUCAACUGAGCUAAGCUCACGGGGAUACAGAUGAAAAUAAUUUUUGAUUAAUAUUGAUUAUAACAGAUUUUUUUUUGUGUAAACAAAACAAAAAAAGAACAAAAAAUAGAGCAAACCUCUCAAAAGGAUAAUUCGAGCCGCAUCAUUUUAGAGGAGAUUCUUGAGGUUUAUCGGAGGAGACUCAUGCCAAAGAAACUCAAGGUCAGAAGAGGCACCAAGCUUGAGAAAAAAAAAAUCCGUACAUUGAUUAAUGGUAACAUUUUCUUACUCCAAUAAAUCUUUUAUGUCUUGGAUUAGAACAAACAUAAGCAUGAAACCUCAUUAUUGGGGAUGGUGAUACAAUGUAAAGAAUCAGAGUAGCAAACAAAAUCAGUAAUACCCAUUUCUUUGGCCAACAAAAGACCCUUAUAGAUGGCAUAGAGCUCAGCAUACAAGAUAUCAGAUGAAUUUUGAAUGUAUCUAGAAAAGCCUGACAAGAAAAAACCUGCAUAAUUUCUUAAAAUUCUUCCAUAACCUGCUCUUAUAGGAGAUCCAAGGCAACUUCCAUCAACAUUAACGAUGACACAAAAAUGAUUAUUGUUGCUCCACUUGAUGAAUUUGUCUUCAUCAAUAGUACUUCAAAUGGAAGGAUAAGAAGCUUUGAGGCUAUCAACCAUACUUUGAAUGUUGAAGGAUAAUUUAGUGUUCGACCAGUUCUAGUUUCCUAAGCACAGUUAUGACAAUAAAUAUUUAUGAGGAUUGAUACGAGAAAAUAAAUAAGAAUAUUGAAUGAUUAUUUAAAAAAAAAAAAAGAAGGUAUAUUAACUCUGAUAUGACAUUAUUAACGAACAUUUUAACACGAGAGACUAUUUUGAUUAAUGGAAUAAAAAAUCAAUGACUAUUUUGGAAUUCCGAUAGAGAAAUUAUAGCGAAAUCCGCAAGCGCACGGUUCUAUCGAAGUAGUAAAAUAUCGUUCCACGGGGAGUUGUUGUAAUUACCGAUUUUCUUUCUAAUUAUGAUUAGCUGAAAAGAUCAAAGUUUAGAGGUUUAACAAAGCGUUGGAAUAAAAUUUAGAAAUUAAAAGCGGAUCGGGAUUAUUAGUUCGUCAUAUGACAAAUCACUCUCAAUCCAAACCUAUAUUUUCCUCUUAUGUUAGAUUUAUUUUCUAAAGAUAGGUUUCUCUAAGGUAUUUCAUAACUCCUUUCGGUUUCCAUGAAUGUAUUUCGAUAACAACCACGCUUAUUCUCAUGGUUGAUUGUUAUUGAAAUCUUAAGAACGAAACCCUAAAAAUCUCAAUACUUCACAAAACUAUUCAUCUGGGGUGUUCCCAUCAAGUUUUGUGUUGUCUUGUCUAAUCACAUUUGUUCCAACAUCAAAAUUCAUCUUUCGAUCCAUCGUUUGAUAUUUCAGAUGAUGAAAUAAUAGUUAUUGGACUUCACCUUUCGGUCCAUCGUUCAAUACUUUUUAUUGAAUUUAAAAACUAUGUGAUUAGAUUAGAAAAUAGACCAACAUAAGAGUAGGUUCUAUGCUUGGUUUGAUAGGAUUUAAGCUAUUAGACUCAUCCAACAAUCCCAAGACCUAUAGAUCUACUCACUCGUGGUCUUGGUAGAUGAAGAAAUUAAAUUGACGGAAUAGAUAGACAUGGAAGUAGAUUGCUGAAUGUAAAAGUGCAGAAUUGUAAAGAACAAGGAAUUAAAGAACAAGAAAAUAAAGCUUUGAUCAAUUUGAUUCAAUGGAAAACAACUAUCACAGAUAUUUCAAGCUUCAAAGAUGAAUAACAAGUAUGAUGGCUGCUCAAUUUAUAGCCCCAAGACUAGCCUAAACCCUAGAAAAGGUAUUAACAAUGCAUUACAAGGCAACCCAUGGGCUUUUAAGUUAAAAAUAUCACUAAACAAGGCACCUGAAACCACGCACGGUCGUGCUUGCAAGGCACACGACAGUGCUUGGUGAAAUCGCAAAAGAAGCAAAGGGAGUACUAGAAUCGCGCACGGCCGUGUGUAGCUGAGCACAGACCGUGUGCAGCUCUCGGCGUUGUGGCACAUGGUUUGGUAACAGGGGUGCACGGUCAGUGCAGUGGCAGGCACGACCGUGCGCGAUAAAUAGGCAGAAAAAUCUUCAUAUUUUGCUCCUCAGUCAGCCUUGAAUCAUGCUUAAAUCCUUUCUUUCCCUAACCAUGCUUCUAAAUCCCUUCUUUUGCUCAAAGACUCGAUAUUUCAUCAUAUUUGAACCUAAAAUAAAAACAAACAAAUUUGAAAUACCAAAGUUCUAAAAAGAAAUUAAAACACAUAAAAUUCUACUAAAAUAAACACUUAAAAACCACCUAAUUAUUGACUUAUCAAAAAACUAUAAUGGUCACCCGUUGAACCAAAAUAACUCUUACCCAUUAUUUAUCUUUAAGUUCAAUUUUAAUGCGCAAAAGUUUUAACAUGGUCAAUAAAUCACACACAAUUCACACCAUCAGAAUCAUGUGUUUGUCUUAAGCUAUGGUUUAGAUAAAAUAAAAGUUAGACGUUUUAAAAACGCUAUGAACAUUGUCUUUAUAACAUUUUCUUUUAACACACAUUUUUUUAUUUGCGAAAAUCAUGUAGGUCUUACAAGUUUAUGUGAUAUCCAUUUAAAAAGUGUAAAACUCACAUGAACUGCAUCCAAUAAGAGUGGGUGUUAAAAAAGAGUGCCUAAACACUCUCAAAACAGGAUAGGACCAAACCUUAUUUCAUUCCUCUAUAUUUAUUCUUAAGCAAGCUCCAAAAUCACGUAGUUAAGACAUCAUAUUUUUGCGAAAUACUAAAAGCUCGUUGCAAUAAGACAACCACUCUUAUUAACUAAUCAUGCUAAAGAGAGAAAAUCAUGAACAAUAUGAAAAGUCUUCAGACUAAUAGGUAAAUUCAAACUUAACUUUGCAAAUAUGUCUGCUACUUAGUUGGCUACAUGUUGAAUUUAUAGUCACAAAACUUAGAAAGCAAUCCACCAAUAUGUGAAAUAAUCAUUUGGUAAGAAACAGAUCUUCUGAGUUUAAUUGUCUCAUCAUUUAGCUCUUCACAAGUAACCAGAAAAUGAUCAUAUGUUAAGAUAGAUUCUAUCCGAAGAGAGUUUUGCUCAUCUUUCUCAUAGUUUGCAUUUGGAAUUUUGAAAAGGUUUUUAGUUGCUUUUAUAAAAACCAAUUAAAAAUUCUAUUUUAUUACUAUGUUUUAUAUAUAUAAAAAAAAAGUGUGAAGUGUCAUCUGAUGUCAAGAGAGCUUUUACAUUACUCACAUAAAUAUCCUAAAACAUCUGAAUUUCAAGUAAAUAAACUCAUAAUACAAGACUUGGAUUGCCUUGAUCUAUAUUUUUCUUUUUGCCUUGUAAAUUAUCAAAACAUAAUUAUAUUCACAUGCACAUGCACACUAGUUCAUGUAAUUUUACACCAUCUCCAAAUUCUUCACUCUAGUAAAAAAGUUGGUUGUGUUUGAAGCUUCUUUAUCUUUCUCCUGUUUGCUCUGGGGUCAACCCUCCCUUUCCACAGCUGGGGCAACUGAUCAACCCAAAUCCUUGGCAGCCAAAGCAUCUAUACAAUUAUACUAGUGUAUUAGGAAGGUUAAAUAUAUUUUUAAUCUUUAUAAAAUAUAUAUCUAUUAAGUUUAGUUUCUAAAACAGUUAUUGACACAUCACAAUACUAGUCCAUGUUUUGUGUCACGGUAAAUAUGUUAAAAUCACGAUAAUUUAUUGUUAUUUUCCAGAAACCACAUUUAUAGCUUUUGCAAAAUCACGGUAGAUUACUAUCAUACCAAAGAUAAUGCAAGGGAGAAGAACUUACUUCCACCGUUCAAACACAUUUCCAUUCUUUUUAUUCUUUCCUGAUCCCUGUAAAAGUCCAAAUUAAACAAUCAUUCUAAUUAAAAACAUAGCUGCAAUGGCAAUAUAUGAAAAUAAUCAUUUUUACUAAUGUAUAAUUGUUUAGGAUUUAAUUUGUAGACAUUUCAUAAAUAAUAAUAAUAGGCAGAUGCUACUCACACCCCAAAAAACAAGUUACACCUCCGACUGACUAAUAUAUCCUUUAACUAAAAUAAAAAUUUCAAAUUAAUCUAAAAUUCUUUCAUCCAUCGCUUAAUCACUGAAACCUAACGUAAACCUAAUUCACAUAUUCCUCCUUUCAAACACACACACACACACACACACACCGUGUUUUUGAAACUUCCAAACCUAAUUCACAUAUUGGCUAAUCCGUAAACUUAAUUUACAUUAACCUAAUUUCACAUAUUGCGUGCACAGAGUCUCUCUGAAAUCAACUAUCUUAGCUAAUCCGUAAACUUAAUUUACAUUAACCUCUUUAAUUGUACAUUUGUAAACUAAAUUUACAUUAACCCUCUUAUAUAUAUAUAUAUAUAGGACAUAUCAAGUGAGAGGACUUUUAUAAUGAGAGAUGAGAGUGUUCAAUUGUGGCCCUUAGAUUAAUCUUUAUGGUAAUACUUAAUUUUGGCAAUAGCAUCCUAUUCUUUCUGACCUCUGGUUUCCUUCGUGUCUUUUCCGUUAUUUUUUUUAGCGAUCAUUCUUCCUUACGAACAAAAAAAUAAUUCUUCUUUGAUACUGUUGCGAUUCUUUCUUUUAGAUCUAACAUUUUCGGUUCUUGAGCAAGGCUGAUUCUUAUUCAACUUUAAUUUCUCUAUAAUAAAAAUCAUGCUUUUAAUCAAAUUGUCUAUCGAAUCUAAACAAAUUAGAGUCACAGCUGUUUGAAUUUAACCCUUUUCCAAAAUUGAAUUUUAUGGCUAAGCAACCUGUUUUCUUUCACGAUUGGGAGACGAAAGUGGUUCUGGAACAGAAAGAAGCGUGAGAGACCACGUAAGUUUGAAUUUAACCCUGACCAAAAAAACCCCAAAAAAUGGGUCUUUUUAUUUACAAUGGUGAUAGGGAAGGAUUUUGUUUUGACCAAAUGAUGAAAUUAAGACCAUGAAAAUAAGAAGAGACACAAAAAGAACCUGUAGAAGUUACACAGAGAGAGAAAGACGAAGUGGAGAAGAAGAAGUGUAUAGGUUGCACUACUUGACCCAUUUUAAAGAGCAUUUUAAUCUCAGCCUUUGAUUUAAAUCCAACGGUCGAAAUUAAUUCCUCUCAUCUCUCAUUAUAACUACUCCUCUCACUUGAUAUGUCCUCAUAUAUAUAUAUAUAUAUAUAUAUAUAUAUAUAAACUUAAUUUACAUUAACCUAAAUUGAACAUAAGUAAACUGAAUUCACACUAACCUCUUAUAUACAUACGUAAACUUAAUUUACAUUAACCUAAAUUAAACAUACGUAAAUUGAAUUUACAUUGACGUAGCUUGAACAUACGUAAACUAAAUUUACACUAACUCUCUGUAAACUGAAAUUACACUAACCCUCUUAUAUAAAUACGUAAACUUAAUUUACAUUAACCUAAAUUGAUCAUAAGUAAACUGAAUUGACGCUAACAUCUUAUAUACACAUGUAAACUUAAUUUACAUUAACAUAAAUUAAACAUACGUAAAUUGAAUUUACAUUAACGUAGAUUGAACAUAGAUUGAACAUACGUAAACUAAAUUUACAAUAACCGUAAACUGAAAUUAUACUAACCCUCUUAUAUAAAUAUGUAAACUUAAUUUACAUUAACCUAAAUUGAACAUAAGUAAACUGAAUUGACACUAACCUCUUAUAUACACACGUAAACUUAAUUUACAUUAACCUAGAUUGAACGUAAGUAAACUGAAUUUACAUUAACCUAAAUUGAACAUAAGUAAACUGAAUUUACAUUAACCUAAAUUGAACAUACAUAAACUGAAUUUACAUUAACCUACACUAACCUCUCAUAUAGAUACGUAAACUUAAUUUACACUAACCUCUCACUAAGUGAAAUCAAAUUGCGGUUAACACGUGCAUAUCUCAUACCAAAACAAAUAUAAACUCUUAGAAAAUGAAAUUUAUGAAUAGAUUACAGAUCAAUGACAAAGAUGUUGAUUCAGAUCUUGGUUGCACAUCUAUGAUGAUUUGUGGAUGAAAGGGGUGAGAAUUUAGAAUGAUCAUAAAAGAUGAGUUUUUAGAAAUUUACUUGAACAGAGCAAUUUUGAUAUUAUUGUAAAAUUUUAAAUAAAUUUGGAUAUAACUAGAAUUAUAUAGGGUGAGACUAGCAAAGAGUCAUAAUAAUACUACCUUACAUCCUGGACAUUCGAUGGCCCCUUUGCCUUCGCAACUUUUACAGCUUUUAAAAAAUAUCUACACAACAGCAAUGAAACAUGAAAAAUCAACAACAAAAGCACCCAAUUAAUAUGGCAAUAUUAGUAAGAUAAGGUUUAAAAGACAAUACAUAUUGUGCAAGCACACAAUUUAAGUCGAGAAUCGAAUUAAGAUUCUUUCGAACAAUUUGUAAGGAGAUCCAUCCCAAUCACUUGGUUAACGGAAAAAGAUUAUUUAAAAAAUAUGGAACCUUCUAAUCAUAUAAUUUGGAAACUCUAGCGUGGAGUUUGUGCAAAGAUAAACAAAUAAGAUUGUUCAUGAUCUUGCUAAAGUGGCCAUAUAUACCGUUAGUGUUAUAAUUAAUGCCGAUGAUACUUAGCAAGAUAAUGUUUGAUUGUUAUCGUUGUACGAAAUUAUAAUGAUUAAAUUUUAAUUAUUGAAAUGCUAUAAAUAACAAUAUUUUCGUAAAAAAAAAAAAAAAAAAAAAAAAAAAAAAAAAAAAAAACAUAGUUUGUAUAAGCUAAAGUAUGCAAACCGAAUUAAAUGAGAAUCCUUUUGAAGCAGAAGUAGUGAUUGUGCUCUGUCUUCGUUGUAUACUUCUUGUUAGUGUGAUUGGUUGAAGUGGAACUUUAUGAAGAAAAGUUGGUGGAGCCGCAGCACCAUUGUAGCAACAAAAAGAGAUAGAGGACAUUUUUUUUCUUCCUGUGAAUGUGAUCAGUGGUUGUGUGUGUAUCUUGCAAAGAAAUGGAUAAUAAGAGGGUUUGUCACGUGUGGUUGUUCUUUUUCCUAGUUUACUUAAAUUGUUUUUAAUUUUAUAACGAGGAAACCAUCAAAUUAGUCCUUGUCUUUGCAAGUGAUUCUCAAAUUAGUCAUUGACUCUAUUAAUGUUUGGCAAAAGUUUUUCAAUUAAAUCCCUCGUCGUGUGAAAAAAAAAACAUAGAAACAUGGAUUUAAUUAAGAAACUUUUGACAAAGACAUGACUAUUUUAAAAUAUUACUAAAGUCAUAGACUAAUUUGAUAAUCACUUACAAGACAGACGGGGCCUAAAUUGGUGGUUUACACUUUUCAUAAUCCUAUCAAAGCCAAAGGUGCUUCAAACACUUUUGGUUUGAAAUGAAGUUGUUUUACUAUAUAUAUAAAAAAAAAAAACAUGAUAUUAAUUUUAAUAGAUUUUUUCACAAAAUUAUAAUUUUGAUAUCCAAAAAUUGAUCCAAACUAAACCUCAUCAAAUUGGAUCGGGUUGUAUUUUGCUAGAUGUCAUCCCAACCGAACCACUAAUAUUUACUUUUUUAGAUCGGGUGGCUUUUUGCCUCAAAUCGAUAUAAAUUGCCAAGUUAUCGUAAGUGGUUUUCACAUAGUUUAUGUUUUUAUUUAGCAUUUAUUUUCAUGAUUUCGGUGACUCAAUGCAUUGUAGUUUUGUUUGUCGUCUUAGUGCGACGUUUGUUUGUUUAAGAUUGACAGGUCUAGCUCAAUAAACUACAUAUUCAAUCGAUGACAAUAUCGUCGACAUUAUAGAUCCAGAAACAUGAAUAUGUUUGUCACUUAGAUUUUGUCAUAUUAUUUAUAGACAUGUUGUCGUUUUAUGAUUUGUCAAAUCAACCAAAAAAGUUGUGAUUUUUUUUUCCAGUGCAAAUGGAUAUGCGACAACAUAAGUAGAUUAAAAGGAAAAUAGUAUAAAGAACGGGGAGACAUAAAGUCUUACCUAGUCUAAAGUAAAAACAAUUAGCGCAGAUGGCUAAAACAAAAAACAAAAUACAUAACAAACAACACUAAAUGGUACAGUAACCACAAAUCACAAUCCGAACUAAAAAUCCACACACCAGUGCAGAAUCACAAAGGUGUAGGAUUCGACCACCAACAAGGAAUGAAAACCACACACCUACGACCCAUUGCGCUGCGACAAUAAGUCAUAGUUUUAAAAAUCAAACUGGUCAUCAAACCGACAAGAUUACUAAAUCACUGGUUGAACCGCGAGAAGAGUCUGAUGACUCAAUAGUAUCUUUUGGUCUCUAAAAACUAUUUUUCUUAUUGAAUUGUAUUAAACCGGUUGACUUGGUAUGUAAAAACUUAUAACACUUAUAAAAUCUUAGUAAAAUAACUUUAUAUAGUUUAAUUUAGGCUUAAUUAUAUAAAUGGUCCCUUAAAUAAUUAUGAGAUUUCAAUUUGGUCCCAUUAAUAAUUUUCGUUCCAUUUCGGUCCUUUAAAUUACCUCCGUCCAUCAUUUAAAUCCAUUCUGUUAACUUUUGUGAAAAACUGUUAACAUUCAUCUUCCAUUUCAUCACCUUCAUCGUAAAAUCCAGAAAAUUCAUCAUAUUCAUCACCAAAUCCAGAAAAAUUCAUCAUCUUCAUCAUCAAAUCCAUCAUAAAAUCCAGAAAAAUAAAAGAAACUCUAAAAUUAAAUGUAAAUUAGUAUUCAUCAUCAUCCAAAAUUAAAACAAAUUUAAACCCAUCAAUCUUCAAACAACAAUAACAAAUGAAAUUAAAUUAAAAUUCUGCAAAAUUCUUCAAACAUUAUGAAAAUGAUGAUAAACACAAUGAAUUUAUGAAAAACUGCAGCAACAACAACAGAGGCCAGGAAGUGCUUAAGGCAAGGAAUUACAAAUAGAGGCUAAAAUGACAAUAGCAGCUAAAGAAAACACAGGCUGCUAGCCAAACAAAACAUCAUCCAAACAGCCCACAAUUAAACACCCACACCAUUCGAAACCUGCUACUGCCACCAGCAAACCCCUCAGCAAAAGCCCCCAAACAACAUUAAAAUUUUAGUAUAACACACAAAAAUAGCACACCUAAACUUUAAUUCCUGAUGAACGCAAGAAUUGAAGGAAAAAAUGGGGAAAAUUUGUAGAUUUUUUUAUAAAAAAAAUAAAAAUUAAUUUGAAAUCAAAAUAAGUUUAUGACUCAAUGAUAAAGGUUCAAUAACAAGGAUCUUUACUCCAUUUUUUCAAACAAUGUUUCCAAGAACAACCUUAAAAUUCAUCUUCAUCUCCAAAUCUCUUCAAUUCGUAGAUCCCAUCAAACAACCACUCACUGCCAUAUUCUUUAACAUUUUACAGAUUCUUCUAAUUGUUGAUUGUGAUUGGUGGAAUUUCUACGAUUGCAAAUCCUUGAGGUUAGGGUUUGAAAAUUUGGGGAAAAGUUUUAAAGGUUAGAAUUUCUAUGAUUGUGAUUGUAAUUGGUUGAAUUUCUAUGAUUGUAAAUAGUUAAUUUGGGGAGGAAUUUCGCUUUCUGGAAUCAAGGAGAGGUGUGGGGUUGUUGUGGUGAGAAGAGAGACAAGGGAGAAAAGAUAAGUGAAGGGUUUGGGAAAAGGGGAUGGCGUCUGUUGUUAUUAUGAUGUUGGGAAAAGAGUUAAAUAUUUUUUUUGUAAGGAAGAGUUAUUUGUUGUUUUUAUUUAUGAGCUUAAACUUUGUCAAUUUGGGUUUAAUUUAAGUUUUUCUUUUCUUUUCUGGAUUUGAUAUUCAAGGUGAUGAAGAUGAUGAAUUUUUCUGGGUUUGCUGAUGAAUACGAUGAAUUUUCUGGAUUUUACGAUGAAGGUGAUGAAAUAGAAGAUGAAUGUUAACAGUUUUUCACAAAAGUUAACAUAAUGGAUUUAAAUGAUAGAGGGAUGUAACUUAAAAGACCAAAAUGGGACGAAAAUUAAUAAAUGGACCAAAUUGAAAUCUCAUAAUUAUUUAAAGGACCAUUUAUGUAAUUAAGCCUUUAAUUUAAUAAGAAUUUGGUUUUCAUUUUUAUUUUGAAAGUAAGAAUAUAAUAUUCAUAAAAGGCAUGUAUAUUUAUAAACAAAAUAAAGCAAGUAUUAAUUAAAAUUUAAUGUUCUUGUCAAAAAAUUAUACAACUUAAUGUUUUAAAAUCAAUUUGAAUAUGUGUAUAGCUAUGUAAAUAAAACAUGACAUAUAUGUUAUAAAAAAUGCUUAGUUCAGUAGCAUAGAGUUUUCUUGUUUAACUGAAUUGACAUGAGUUUGAUUCCCACACUUGCCACUUUUAUCAUAUGAUUUUUUUUAAAAAUGAACGCCGGCUUAUUAUCAUUGAACCGGUCCGCGUCGGAUUACACGAAUUUGACCGGUUUAAUAAAAGUUUGAUCGGUUCAACUAGACGGAUGGUUUGAUAUAAGGAAUGGAUCGGUAAUGUGUCCGGUUCAUGGUUCGGUUGGUUCAAUAAGACGGUUCGUCCGAUUUUUAAAACUUUGCAGUAAGCAUCCACAAUUAUUUAUAGCCAAAUCAAACACAAGCAACCCAAAAUCAAUUGAAAUCCAGACAAAGGAUGAUAAAUCAACGGGUCUGAGCACAAUAAAAAUUGGCACCAAUCAAAGCCCAAAUCAAGGGAUAGAAAAAUGACAGAGCUCCAUCCAUCGACAACACGUGAAGCAACCACGACGAAUACCAACAACAAUGACCCUCUGACAUGGAGGCGAUAUAUUUAAAAACAAAUCACCACCAACCAACAAAACAACGCCACCUCACAUCCCUUGAUAGAUUUUAAUGUCAACGAUGAUCAAGAGGACAAUUAGAGAAGGUUAGGAGGCUUUUGAGGCUUGUACGUUGAAAGGAACACAAUACGACAACAAUGACGUCUUGAAGCCAACAUGCUGCCGUUAAGAACACGACAGGAAACACCAUGGAUCUAGAAACUUAUAAUUGAGUCACACAAAACUAGAUCUCACCCACCAUAAGCCGUUGGCGCUGCAACAACCACAAAAAAUGAACAACAACCAUUAAUAGAAAACAAAGAGAACCACCACACUUCUCCAACAAAAACAAAUAGAGACCACUGCACAAAACUGUGCCAAAGAGAACCGACACAAGUGGGAUGUAGAUGUAUGGGCCAUCAUCGCACCACCAUCUACAUCUUGAAAGGAGAAAGUUUGGAUAAAAGGGUAGGUGUGUGCAAGUAAAAUGAGAGAGGUGACAGUCUAUUUGUUUUGGAGAGAGUACGUUUUCGAUAUAAAAAAUUAGUGAAGGAAUUGGACUUAAACCAUCCAUUUAAAUUUGGAUGAAUAAUCCAUCCAACUUAUUUUAAAGAUCCAAUAGAUCACCUAAAAUGAUAAUACAUGUCCUUUUGAUAAAAUUGGUUGACUUAGGUAUAAAUAAUUAUAUUAAUUAAUUUAAAAUAAAACAAAAAAAAUCUGGAAAAAGCUGAAUAUUUAAAUAAACGAAUAUUAAUUUAUAUUAAUUUUAAAAAGAAUUAUAUUAAUAUUAAUUUAAAAUAUCAAUAUAAAUUAAUUUAUAUUAAUAUAUAAAUUAAAUUCAUAAUAAAAACUGAAUAUUAAUUUCAAUUCUUAAAUGUCUCGCCGCCAAAAAGUUAUUGGAGUAUCAUCGUCCUCCACUUUGGCGGUUCCUGGAGCUCUGUCGUGCACUACUACCGAUGUCCCACCAUAUUUACAAUAUUUAAUCAUUUGUUUCUUAAUUUUUUUGUUAAAACUAUUUUAAUUAUUUUUUUUGACACAUUUUUCAAAUAAAGUGAAGAUAAACUCAUUUUGAGAUAAGAUUUAUUGUUCAAAUUUUGCGUAGUAUAAAAUUAUUACAAAAUUCAAUUAGUCAAAACAAACAAAAAAACUAAGUCAGAAAAACAAAAGCGAAAUUCAAAGAAAUUAAUUCCUCCACCCUCACCUACAAGUCUCAACCACUCACCACCAUGGCAGCACCACCGUUCUCUCCUCUCAUCCAUUCCACAACCUUCUCUUCCUCCCCCUAACCACUCCCAACCACCACAACACCGACGCAAAAUCCCAAUUCAAAACGAAGAACCAUCGAAUUUGAAAUUCAACAUUGAUAUCACAUGUCAAAAUCGGAGAAUUCAAUGGGAUUAGGAUCAACAACAACAACAACAACAUCAUCAUCUGUAUCAUCCAAAAUUCACCCUUCCAAUCAUCCACCAGAACUCGAUCCUUCUUCCUACGCUCUCGAGAAAUUCAAACUCUACGAAACCAGAGCGGUUCGUAACAACAUUCAAUUUCAUUUUCUUUCAUAACUGUAUAACCUAACAUUCAUCAAUUAAUUUUGAUUUUUUUUUUUUUUUUUGUAAUUGUGUAGAGGUUUUAUUUAAUUGGAAGUGAUCGGAACAAGAGAUUCUUUCGCGUAUUGAAAAUUGAUCGAUCAGAACAGUCUGAUCUUAGUAUCAGUCAAGAUCCUGUGUUGUAUUCGCAGCAGGAAAUUAAGAGUUUGCUUCAGCGGAUUGCUGAAGGUAAUCGAGCUACCGGUGGACUUACUUUCGUCGCUAAAGUUUUUGGAAUUGCAGGUUAGUAAAGAGUUUUUACACUGUCAAUCAAUAAUAACUGUUUUAUUACUAGAAACAAAUAAUAACUGUUUUAUUACUAAUCAAUGAUAACUGUUUUACACUGUAUAAUUAUUUUACACAUGCUUAUUCAUUAGUUGAUGUGGCAACAGAUGAUUGGAUGUAUUUGUAAAAUAAUUCGUGCAUACUGAUUAAAUUCUGUUAGAACCAUUUGACUUUUAUUAUAACCACGUGGAAGUCAUGCACAUAAUUGGUUGUUUUGAUUGUGAUGUAAUGCAGUGUAAAAUUGUAUGAAAACUAAACCGUUGUAAUAUACUAGCAGAAAAAUAGGCACAUUAGUUUAGUGUAAAAGUGCAUGAAAAUUUGAUAGUUGUUUGUGAUGUGCUGACAGUAUUGCUAGUUGUUUGUGUUGACAGUGUUAUAGGCGUGUAUUGAAGUUGUUUAAAUUUGAUAGUUGUUUAUGAUGUGCUGAUAGUGUAAAAGCAUAGUAGUCAACUGCGGUAGCGGUGUGUAGCGGCCGACCCCAAAAGUGGGAUAGUGUAUAGUGGUCACCAAUAUUUGAUUAUUUUUUUGGACAAAUUACAUGAAUAAUACUCUAAAGUAUAAAAUAAAAAAACUUAUAUCUCAUAAAACAUUCAUAAAUCAAAACACCAAAAAACAAAAGACAGAGAACAAUAAAAAAAAUCAUAAAAGAAGAGAAACCAUAAAACAAAAGAAAACAGAGGAAGAAAAAAAUCAGAGAAAGAGAGAAGAGAUCCCCAGGUUACAUUUUCCAGUUGGAAGAUAGAAGAGUGUGUUUUCUGGUGCAUGUAAGAAGAGAGAAAGAGUUGAAAAAUGUUAAGGUUUUAAAAAUAUGGUCAAUUUAGAAAAUUCCUAUUAAAAUCAAAUAGCGGUUGAAGCGGCCGCUAUCCGCUACACCGCUAUAGCAGCUGAAGCGGCCGCUUUUUCAUUCUGAAACCGCUAUGACGAUUAUUGUAGCGGUUUGUUGCCGCUAUGCUACACUCGGCCGCUAUAGGCUGCUAUUGACUACUCUGUGUAAAAGUGCAUGAAAAUUAAACUAUUGUGUUAUACUAGUAGAAAAUUGGGAACAUUAGUUUAGAGGCUUGUUUGGAUAAACAACUUAUUUGCAGUUUAUAUCAUGAGUGCUUAUCAUGAUAAGUGCUUAUGUAUAAAUUAUUUCUAUAAAAAAAGAUAAAGUAAAGUUAAACUGUUUUAAUAUAAACUAUAAGUCAUUUUCAUAAGAGGAAAAUUUUAUCGGACAGUUGUAAGACCGACAAUGUUGUAUGGAAAGUAGUGUUGGGCGGUUAAGAACCAACUCGAGAAUAAAGUAAGCGUAGCAGAGAUGAGGAUGUUGGAUUGGAUGUGUGGUAAAACUAGACGGGAUAUAGGAUUAGAAAUGACAACUUUAGAGCGAGAGAGUUAGGGUAGCACCUAUUCUAGUAAAUAUGGUGGAAACUCUGCUUAGGUGGUCUGGCCACGUGGAGAGAAUCUUUGUAGAUUCUGUAGUAAGGAGAGUAGAUAAGAUGGAAAGUAGUCAAAUCACUAGAGGUAGAGGAAGACGUAGAAAAACUAUACGUGAAACCAAGAUCUAGAGAUUAAUUAGUUGGAUAGAAUUAGAAAUAAGGUAUAUAUGAUAGAACAUUAUGGCGUUGUUUUAUCUGGAUUUAUCUAAAAUUUAAUUUCAAUAUUCAUGUUGUAUCUUUUUAUAUUUAAAUUUGGAAAGGAACUGUGUUGUUAAGAACAAAUUUAUACAGACAAUAACUCCGACAAAAAUUAAUAGUUACUCUUGGAGUUUCCUUUAUGUUAUAAAUACUUUUAUAUCUAUAUAUCUUUUGUCCCUAAUCUUUAGUUUAACUUUCAAUAUAGUCUUGCUUAUAUACCAGAUCGGUCAUUUUUGUCAAUUAUGAUCCCAAGGCUGUUAACUGUGAUAUUGUUUUAGUCCAUCAUCUUUGAUUUUGUACAAACAAGAUGAUCCGUAUCUUUAACCUUUGUUAUGAAAUGGUGCUUUAUCUUUAUUUUUAGUUUUGAUUUGGUCCAACAAAUACUGUCACAUAAGUCACAAUUACAAAUGUUAGUAACAAGAUUUGGAGCUGAUCAUUUUGGUCAAUUUUUUUAUCACAUACCAUAUAUAUAAAUAAAUUUAAAUGUCAAACAUAACUAGUAAUUAUUCUUAUUGAUUCUCUUGUGUUUUUCUAGGCUGCAUCAAGUUUCUCGAGUCUUACUAUUUGAUUCUCGUUACUAAGCGCAGACAAAUUGGUUCUAUAUGUGGCCAUGCAAUUUAUAGCAUCAAGGAGAGCCAAUUAAUUACAAUUCCACAUGUGUCAAUUCAAUCUGAUUUAGCUCACUCUAAAACUGAGCUAAGGUAAUUUGAUUGCAUCUGAUAACUGCAAUCAAAAUUUGUCGAUCUUUAUAAAUUGAACUGGGAAACGACUUAACAUUGCUUACUUCCACUGCAGAUACAAAAAGCUUUUGUCCAGUGUUGAUUUGACCAAGGAUUUCUUCUUUAGUUAUACUUACCCUAUAAUGCAAAGUCUGCAAAAGAACGUCUCGUCCGAUCAAGAAGGAGGGAUGCCAUACGAUAAUAUAUUUGUCUGGAAUGCUUAUUUGACACAAGCUAUCAGAUCUAGAUGCAAUAACACCAUAUGGACUAUAGCUUUGGUUCAUGGCCAUUUUAGGCAGGUUUGUCUUUUCUUUUGUGCAGCCUGUCAAUUAUGAUAGUUACUGUCAAAUUAAGCUUAUAUACUCUUGUUUUAAACAUGUGUUAUCAUUAAACAUCCAUGAUUGGUUUUCAGUAUUUGUAAAUUAUAGUUAUCAAAGCAAGAAAAACAUUGUUCAAAAUUUAGUACUAUCGGGAAUUAGGAUUCUUGGGAUAGAAUAGACAGUUGAUUUGGAGUAAAGCUUUGGUUCCUGUUCAUUUUAGGCAGGUUUGUUUUUCUUAGUUGUGUGUGUCAAUGUCAUUAAUCAUAGUUUGUUAUUUGUUUAGUCCUAAGCGUAGUUACUCUUGUUUCUAGCAUGCAUUUCCGUUAAAGAUUCACGAUCAAUUUACAGUAUUUGUAAAUUACUUGCUAUUAAAGCAAUGGGAAUUUGUACAAAAAAAUCAAGAGGAACAUUGUCCAAAAUUUACUACUAUUGGGAAUUAGGAUGCCUGAGAUAGAAUCAUAGAAAAAACCUGAAUUGGUUCAAUGUCUCUUCUUGGUGGCUGUGCAAUAAUGGGUUGAUACAAACAUGUUUCUAUAUGGGUCUAUCUGACAGAAUUUCAGGUUCCGGUACCGUUCACCUUAAAGCAACAAUUAUAUUUAUUACCAAGUGCUAGGGUGAGAGCAAGGACUGAAAACAGAAUAUGAUGUUGGUAGAUGAGUGGAAAAACUGAGAUUCAUCGUUUUAAAUGUCAUUCAAACACGUCUUGAUUUAAAACUAAUUUAUUAAGACUUUAUUUUUAAAUAAUUUCAUUUGAAGUCUUCUUUUAUGAAACAGUUUUCAACAACUAAAACACUAUAGAAUCAAACAUGUUAUUGACUUUCUUGGCUAACUUCGUUCUUUUCUUUAGUUAAUAAUAAGAUGGCUUUCAGUUAAUAAAUCCCAUUUCUCUCUCUUUGCUCACUCUCCAUAAUCUGUAUGAGGGAAAGUAAUUUUGGAUGAUACAAAGAGGAGACCCGACACAAUGUUUUGAGUUGUCAUGUAAUACGAAGUUGUAGGUUCAAGUUGUGGAAUGAGCCUCUUGCAAAUGCAAGAUAAGGCUGCUCAGAGUAGACCCUCAGUGGCUUCAAUCCUGUUUCUAGUCAACCUCCCACUCCAUCACUACUAUUGUUUUUGAAAAUGAAAUUUCAUACAAUGUUCCCAAAAAACGAGAAUUUAUAUAGAUUAACCAUGAUGUAUAUUUGUAGUGUUAGUGGUAGCACGUUAUAUUUUUAAUGCUGUAGAUUUUUAUGCGCUUAUGUGGUGCUCCCACAACUUUCUAGGUCCAUCACUACUAGCCAUGGUGUGAACUUAAUAGCACGGAUAGCACUUGGGUGACAUUGUGGUUGAUGAAAUUGGCCUACCACAAUGUCACAAGGCUUUCUUCUCUCUCUUUCACAAAGUUUUUCUGUUUUUUGUACACUUGUGACAUUGUGGUUGGCCAAUGUCACCCAAGUGCUAUCCUAAUAGCACCAGGUUGACCUUUUUUUUUUUUUUUUUUUUUUUUUUUUUUUUUUUUAUAACUAUAACAUAAUAUAUAUAGAGAUAAAAUAGGGAAAGUACUGUUUGGGUUAUAAUAUAUGCUCUAAAACAGUAAAACAUGCAAAGCAAGAAGGAAAGAGAAAGAGUUGACAACGCUGAAACCAUUGGGAAAUUUAGUUCAUCCAUACAGGACUUUUGAUUGAGAUGAACUUCUAUGCCUCAAAAGAGCUAUUUGAUUGUGAUUGAUAUUUUCUUAGAGUAUCUAUGAUUAUCUCAUAAGAUUAGAUUCUUAUCUUAGUAUCUUAUUGCUUGUUUGGAAUAGCGGUGGAUUUGCAUUUUUCGCGUCCCAAGACAGAUAUAACGUGAAAAUGAAGAAGCUACAUUUUGUAGCUUUACAGAAAAUGUACGUUAAGCUUGCAUUCACCGCAAAAACAAACAAGAGCUUAGACUAUCUCUAUUAGUUCCAUAUUUCUGAACUAACGGUAACCAGUAACUAAAACAUACCACAUAUAUGUACGAAUAUUACACGUAAGACAUAAUUCAUUGCCUUUUUCUUUUCUCCGUAAUUACUUGAUUUUAUUGUCCUGUCAAUCAGUUUAUGUUGUAAAUAAUGAAGUUUUAUGAUUAUUAUUAGUAAUUUGUAAUUGUCUCAUUAGUCAUUAGUCAGGCCCAUUAGCUUAGAAUAGCCUAUAUAAACACAUCAGUGGUUGUACAUUAUUUAUCUCUGAAAUAUAAUAUUAAGUUUUCACAGUUUAUUUAUCCAGAGCCUUUGUCAUUUUAUAACCAAUUUAAGAUCUAUAAAAUUGCAGGCUCGUUUAUCGAUCUUUGGGAGGGACUUCAGUGUUUCCUUGAUUUCUCGACGCUCUAGACAUUUUGCAGGGACACGGUAAGUUCAUGGUUUGAUAUUUUAUUUAUAUUUCACAUUCUAGUUCCAUGCAAUUGAAUCAGAUGUUAUGAAAUCAUUGGGAUAAUUUAAAUUAGAUAGCUAUUUAAGUUUCUAUUAUUCAAUUUCAAUUUCAAUUUCUUCCUUAACAUUGUGUUGCUAAAUGAAUUGGAAUAUGUAGUAGUAGUUAAAUAUGGAAUAUUCUUUGUUGUCAUAAAUUAUCUGUAUUUUGUAAAGUAUUUGGUGUACAGUGUCUAUUUGGCCAUAAUGAAGUUGUUGGAUUAAUUUUCUUCAUCAAGAAUUAUUUUUGUAGUUACCUGAAAAGGGGAGUGAAUGAUCGAGGGAGAGUUGCUAAUGAUGUUGAGACAGAGCAGAUUGUCCUUGACGAAGAAGCUGGCUCCUGCAAGGGCAAAAUGAGUUCAGUUGUGCAAAUGCGUGGAUCAAUACCACUUUUCUGGUCACAAGAAGCAUCAAGAUUUAGCCCUAAGCCUGACAUAAUUUGUAAGAAUACAGUUGGGAUUAAUAUUAAUCUGUUCAUUGUUAAAUUGUACGCUGUUGUAACACUUUCCUUUCGAUCUUUUGCUCCCCCUGUUUUGACUUCCAGUGCAGAGAUACGAUCCAACAUACCAGGCAACAAAAUUCCAUUUUGAAGACCUUGCUCAGAGAUAUGGCAAUCCAAUUAUUGUCCUUAAUUUGAUCAAGGUAAUUCCUAAUAAAAAAUAAUAAUGAAGCUCACAAAUACUAAUUAUUGUUAAUAAUGAAGCUCACAAAUACUAAUUAUUGUUCUUACUUGUAGAAAAAAGUAAUGUUCUUCCAUUUCCCCAUCCCCAUUUCAGAAUAGCACUUUCCCAUGGUUUUACAAAAUGGCUUCUCAUUGGGAAAUUUAAAUUUCAGUCUAGAACUUUUUUUUGUUCACAACAGCUAAUCUUUAAAUAAAAAAUGACCAAAGAUCUGAAUGAAAUGGACACUGCCUAAAAAUGAAGCAUAUAGUAUUUUAUCCAACGUUCUAUACCAUAAAAUCUUCUUUUGGAUAGGAUUCUUUGCUUUGCUCUGGUUCCUAGCAGUUUAUGGUCAGUAUUUUUUUUUUAAAUUGGUUUCUUGGUGCACAUCAAGACAAAUAAGAGAGAUAUUUUGAGCUAAUGCUGAAAGUUUCCUUUUUGGUUGCUGAUGUUAGGAUCCCUGAUAAUGCGGUCAUGUUUAACUCCUCUCAAUAAUUUCUUUAAGCAAAAAUGGUCAUAAGUUUCGAAAUAAUACCACGACAACAAUUUCAUAAAAAUAAGUUCGUAAUAUUACUAUUUCUCUACCUUAGUUAUCUAAAACCCAUAAACUUCAACAAGAAUUAAUGUUGAUCCUUCAUUUUUUUUCUCUGGGUUUAGUAGUGUGGAAGCGAUGAUUUUUUAUAAAAGAAGAGAAAUAAUAAGAACAUUGAGUAUGAUAACGGUACGAUAUGAUUUAUAAUAAAUUGAUAGUUGCUUAAUACAUAUGAGAACAAAGUGCUGUUGUGAAGAAAUAAGGACAGCAAGAAAUAAAUCAUAAUAAUAACUCGGUAAUCAAGAAAUAAAUCAUAAUAAAUCAUAAUCAAAUGGUGGGACCCCUUUCCGGACCCUGCGUAUGCGGGAGCUUUAGUGCACCGGGUUGCCCUUUAACUUUUGGGAAAAUCCAAAGUCUCACAUUGAAUAGUGAUAAGGUCUGAAACGAGUUUAUAAAGAGUGACAUUCCUCAACUUACAAGUCGGUUUUUGAAGGAUGAGUUAGACUCAAUAUAAAACUUAAUAAUAACCUGAGAUAUUCUAAGAUUAGAAAUUGAUCUUAUACGAUAAACUAGAUUUUUUCCCUUUUUGCAUACUUAUUUCUUCAUUGAAAUAUUCUCUUUAUAAUUUUUGUGGCUUAUUUAAAUGAUAAAUUGUAGACAGUUGAGAAAAGGCCUCGAGAAAUGAUGCUGAGGCGUGAAUUUGCAAAUGCUGUUGGGUAUCUGAACCAAAUUCUACCAGCAGAGAGCCAUCUUAGAUUUAUUCACUGGGACUUUCACAAGUUUGCAAAAACGUGAGGAAGCUUUACCAUAUUGUUCUUCAAUACCAGUCUUUUCAUUUUUUUCUGCAGUUCUAUUUUAAAUCUGACUAUUCUCUAUUAUGCUCUGCUGUUUUCAAAGCAAGUCUGCCAAUGUUUUGGCAGUUUUAGGAGCUGUAGCAAGUGAAGCACUUGAUCUAACAAGUUUUUACUAUAGUGGCAAGCCCAACAUUGUAAAGAGGGCAAACAAGAGUAAUCGAACAAGCACAGCAAGGUAGGAUCCAUUGUUUGAAUUGUUAACUAACAUUGAAUACAAUUUUUUUCUUGUUUUUCAUUUAUGUUUUAGUUGAAUCGUAGCUGUACUGCAAAAAUAUCAAAUUUUUCCGAUGUUGUCAACACAGAUCACACAAUGCCAUGAUGUCUUAACAUGAAUUUUUUCCAAUGGCAUCCCAUUUAAAUCUAAUUUUUUCUAAUCGGUUUGGCCUUUUUAUGGUUCUGUUUCUCCGCCUUGGAUAAUUGGACUAUUCUCCAUCUCAUCCACCCUCAUUUUGCUGGUGCUUAUACAAUUAUUUUCCAUCGUUGCCCAAACCACCUAUGGUGGUGUAAGGUAGAUUAUCAUAUUUUUCAUAGAAGGUGCUACCCCGAUUCCUUAAAAAUCUAUCAUUCUCAAUUCUAUAUUGUUUUGUGUGGCCACUCAUGUAUCACAACAUUCUCAUCUCUGCAUUAUUAAGCUUACUUUGCUGUUUGCCUUUGAGUCACAAGACAACUUUGUCAUGUGUAUUGUAUCGUGGAGAGUGAACAACAGAAGAUAAUUCAUUAAAGGAGACUUUAUUUAUUUUUUUAGUGAAAAUUAUUGACCUAUGUUGAAGUUGUAAGAUUUUAGAUAAAAGGAAAAGAAGAGAGAAAACAAUAAGAACAUUGAAUAUUAUUGAUGAUGACUUGAUAGUAGCUUCCUGAUACUCAAUUGAUAUUUAUAACCAAGUGAUUACUUCAACUCUACAACUAAAUCCAUUGCUUUCUUUCAAAAAAAUAAAAAUAAAUCCAUUGCUUAUAGGAAUAAUACUAACAAACCCAAUCAGCGAUAUUUACUCAACAUAAUAUAAUUUAAAUCUAAUAAUAUCUUAACAACCUACAAGAGCUCUAACUCUUCCCUUGACUUGUCAUGGUGGGAGACAACAUCGGGUUGUCCAUCAUCAUGAUUAUUUUUAUUAUUAUUAUUAUUUAGAUCCAAAUGUCAUCAUUUAAUCAAUAUACCUGACCGUGCCUAGUGACAUACGGAUUGGUGGUAGUUUGUCAUUGGUGGUGUGAUUAGUGUUAAGUCUGGGAGAUUCUUAUGUUACAAAACGUUGUUGAAGUUUUUAUUUUGUAUGUGUAAAAAAGCAAUAUGUUGCUCAAGAGAAAGAAAAUUAUAUUUACAUUUCAACAUCUCCUUAUACAGGGAUGCUUCGUUGAGAGAUCUGACAGCUAGUUCUGGAGAUCUUGCAAGGCUUGGAAUCAGUAGUGAAGUGCUAAAUUCUAUGGCUAAUCGAGAUAGAGAGACUGACAUGAAUCACCAGAACAAAGAUGAUUAUUUUAAUAGUGAUACACCACAUUUUCAGAGUGGAGUCCUACGUACCAACUGCAUUGACUGCUUGGACCGUACAAAUGUCGCCCAAUAUGCUUAUGGCCUACAAGCUUUAGGACGCCAGCUCCAUGCAAUGGGUUUGUCUGAUGUGCCAAAAGUGGAUCCUGACAGUAGUAUUGCAGCAGCUCUAAUGGAUAUGUAUCAAAGUAUGGGAGAUGCUCUUGCGCAGCAGUAUGGUGGUUCUGCAGCUCACAAUACUGUAUGACGUAUUUUACAUGAUUUUAAAUUGGCGUAAUCUGUAGGAUAAAGUGUCUAAUUUUCUUAUUUGUAUCUUACAUUGAUGUGAUAAUAGAUGUAUUUUUUGUGAAUUUAUAGGUGUUUCCAGAGAGGCAGGGAAAGUGGAAAGCAACGACACAAUCAAGAGAAUUUUUAAAAUCCAUAAAACGAUAUUACAGCAAUGCUUAUACGGAUGGUGAAAAACAAGAUGCAAUAAACUUGUAUUAUUCCUUCCACCUAUUUCAUGUUUCCUAAUCGGAAUUUAUAUCUCAUCUUUAAUAAUAUUGGGUUUUUUUAGUUUCUAAUAUUUAGAGGGUCUUGCAACUUGUGCACUUAGGGCACAUGUUAAGUAACUCAAAAUUAGAAAUUUUGCAUUGAAAAGAAUAAUUUUUGUACUUUUAAGAAUUUGAAUACACGACCUUUGAGAUUGAAUUACCGUGUAGUUCUUUAACACGUGCACUUAGGGUACAUGUUAGCAUUUUCCAUAUUUAAAUUUAAAUACUUUAGCCCGUUGUUAAUUUUGUCUUGAAUAGUCUAAAAUACUGAUGCCAUUGUUCCAUUGCCAGAUUCUUAGGUUACUUCAAACCACAGGAAGGAAAACCUGCUCUAUGGGAGCUUGAUUCAGAUUAUUAUCUCCAUGUAUCUGGCAUUGGAGAUGAUCUUUUUCCUGAGAAGUUGUGAGUCCUCCUUGUUACUUUCUUUAUUUAUGAGCAUUCCACUUUAUUAUUUAAUGAUUUGUGCAGUGUCUAUUUUUAUUUAUUUAAUUAUUUUUUAUUUCCAUUUUAUGAUUUAGUUUCCUUAGAGAGAGUAGAUUCAUAAUUGUGAUUAUUUUCAAUCCCUACGUGCGGAGAUUUCCUUAUAUGUACGGCACUACAGUGUUAAUUUCGCAAGUGUAUCAUUACAUACUCAAAUAUGAGAAAUUAAUUUGUUUCAAGUUGUCAUCAGAGCACAAGGUUUUGAUCUAGCAAAGCCGUCACCCUAAAUCCUCUGGUUACGCCAUAUCCUUGGGAGUUAUAUAUGUCAAAAUAUAACCUCCCUUCAAGUUGGUCCUUAUCCUGUAUUUUGUUUGUACUUCCAAAAAAAUACGACCUCCCUUCUGUUAGAAGUUAUAUAUGUCAAAAUCCAUCCCCGAUGCUUCUAUAAUAUGUUAAAUUUGAUCUUGCUAUUCCCAUCUUUUUUAUAUACUGUAUAUUUACCUUUCCGAUCUUCAAUAUCUUUUUCAAAUCUGCAGUUGUGAACCAAAUCUCAAGUCUUCUGGGAGAGACGGAACAAUCUUCACCCCUGUACCAGCUUGCAGAGAUGAUUUCUCACGCAUAAAGCUGACAUCAUUUGACAAGUUAAUUGAAAAGACCUGUAGUACAAUUAAAAAUGUAAGGCUUUCCUGCGAACCUGAUCAGAAGCCAGGUGGAGUUUCUGGAAACAGUGGUGUAGCACCUGAUGCAGCGUAAUGUCUCUUAUUCUUUGUCUCUGUUUGAUGAUUUUAGUUCUGUUAGAAACCUUGAAACAGGUUUUUCAGAGGGAGCGGUGAGAAAAACAGAGAAAGGAAAGGAAAAUUAAUACUUUUGUAGUUUUUAUUGAAUUAAAAAGAACCUAAGGAGACAACUCUCAUUCUAAUGGUUUCCCCUUUUAUAGCACGGCAUAUGCUUAUUCUUCAAAUCUAGAUUUCUGAAUGCCUUCCUUCUAUCUUGCUCCUAUUACGUAAACCACUGUAAUGAACUAUCCAUCCCUUUAAAUAUUCAAAUUAUAAAUAACUAAACUGACAUCGAACUGUCUAACUAGCUCAGACCCUGCUCCGUUUUAUUUUUACUAUAUUAACAUUGUAGAGUGUUUUCUUUUGCGCAUUGUUUUUUAUUUCAUUAUGUGCGCUUGUGAAUACUAAAUUUUUUCCUGUCAUUUGUUUUAACACCGGGUUCCUCUACCUGUGCUUGGUGAUUUAUGAUGACAACAGUUGAUAUUGUUCCCUUGUUAUUGCUUCUUAAUACCUGCAUUACUGAGUUGUAUGGUCAGCAUGAUGUGUUGUCAUAUGCUUUCCCUUCAUUUACUUCAACUUAUUUUUCUCUCAAUGCUUGGGAUUCUUAAUAUGCACCAUUAUUUGUUUUGUUUAAGAAAAUUGAUAUGCAAAAGCAUCAUUGUCAAUUUGAUUAAUUGGAGAUUGUCUUUUGACAUAAUAUUAAAUAGUCCAGAGAAACUUGCAAAGUUUUUGGUUACGAUUUUACCUCAUGCAAAUGGGAAAAUGUUGGAUUUCCUACAAACUUUUACACUCUUAUCCACAAUAUUCAUAGAGUUCAUUCUGUAAAUUACUCCAAUUGACAUUGAACAACAUCUAAUACAAAGGAGCCAUUAAUUUGUUUGUUAAAAUCAGUAUAAUUCUUCACCAAUCUCUUGUUUUUAAAUAUAUUCCCUUCAUUUCUAUACAUGUAAGUUCCUUGCUAAAACUUUAGUUGCAAUGUCAGUUUCCACUUCCCUGCCAACCAUGUGUAGUUUUAGGUGGGAAAUAGUGGGCGGAGUGUCAGCUUGUGUGAUGUAAAAAUAAUACGAGCAUCGUGAGGUAAUUCUUGUUGAUUCACUGCUUGUCUGUUGUGUUUAUCCAGUGAGAUACAGCUUAAAAGCCCAAAUUGGCUUUUUGGCCAGAGAAAGUAUGAAGAAGGUUCCUCUGCUGCAAAAGUUGCUUCUAGUGAAACCGACAUUGAGGGAUGUCAUGCUAAUGACUUUUGCAACUUGAAUUGGCUUUCCUCUGGUAAUGAUAUGAAUGAAGAGGAUGUUUUUCAUAGGUAUGUAUCUUGAACAUGGAUUAUCCUUACAAGGCUUUGAUACAUCUUCUAUAUAUCCUUAGAUGUUCAGUGUCCCGUUCUGUUAUUUUUCCUACUUAAUAACAUCCGCACAUCAGAUAACCUCUGUAUAUUUAGUACAUUGUGAUUUGUGAGUUUAGUUUGCAACGUUUUACUGAUGAUGCUUUUCACAUAUCCUUGACUUUUUAGGUACUUUACAAUGACCUCAGCAAACGAGUCCAAUGGUUGGUAUGGAGGCACCCUCCUUGGUGAUCAAGAUGAAAGCAGUGAGAUAUAUAGACAUUAUGCUGAGUUAUGUCAGGUAUGUAAUUUCAUGUGAAUAUUAACUAUUCCUACGCCUACCUGAAAAAAAAUGUCAUGGUGGAUCUUGGUGUAGUAAUGACGGGCAGGUUGAAGGUUAAUAAACAUCCUUGGUCUCACUUGCUAUAUAUUCUUCUGUUUGUUUAUACAACAUGCAAGAAAUUUACAACGACAACCAAAGCCUUAUCCCACUAAGUUGGGUCGGCUACAUGGAUGAAAUUACACCAUAAUAUCAUAAAGACAUAAACCAUAUUUUGGUCCAACUCUUUAAUCUUCAAGUCUUUCCUAAAGUUUCUAUAAUAUACAAUAUAAGGAAAUCAACAAACAAAUAAAUAAUGACAUAUAGGUAUUAAUAAAUAACAGAACAUGUAGGAUUUUUGUGUGUUGUGUUAUUACAUCUUAUGCUGCCAAGAUGCAGUUUUUCUAGUAUUUUACCCACACCUUCAUCUACUUCUACAGGGACCUGCCUUUGAACUUUUCCAAGAUGAUCAUGAAAGAGAGCAACACUACGCGGAUGCUCUAAGCAUGAGUUCAUUUGAAAUUAUAAAUGAAGCUGGUGUUGCAGCAGAGAUGGAAGCAGCUCUAAAGGAGUAUGACCAAGUUGGUGCUGACCUUGGGAUCAUUCCCUCAUCUUGUAAAUUCUUCGCCGAUGAUCCAAGUUGGUUGACGAGGUGGUUAAUUGGGGACGAAAAAGUACCCAGGAUAUGAUGAGCUUUUGGCAUGUAUUUGGAAUGAUUGAUUUUUGUACUAUUUGAACUCUUGUUUAGUCCUAUGUAAAGUCAUAGUUAAUGUCAGUUUUCUUAUCAAGUUCAAUUCUUCAUUUUUGUUUUGAAUUAUGACUCUUUUUGUUCCAUACAAGAAUGUCACCUUUUGUUUUUAGGCUUUAUUUAAUUUGUUAGUAUAUUAUAUUAGUUAGGUCACUUGUCCCUUCUGUUUUAAGUUUGCUACUCAAUUCGAUAAACCAGUUAUUAUCGUGUUACAUAAUAACUGAUUAUUCCUAAUGCCUCUUUGUUUAUAACUAAGGCGUUGCCUCUUAUUAAUGCAAGCUUUUCAUUUUAUCAAAAGCUAAUAAAGUUUAUGAAAUCUUAUCUUAUCUUAUCUUAUAUACAAAUGCAAAGAAAAGUUGCAAGCAAACCCUAGGUUUGCCAUUUUUUUUUUUUUUUUUUUAUACCAAAAAGCCCCUCUUGGCACCAAAAUGCAAGGUCAUGUGAUAAUUAUGCCCAUUGAUUGUAUCAAUGCAAUCAAUGAAUGCCAUUUGUAUCAUAGUUUCUUCUAUAAAAAAAUCACAAUGAUUAUCUUAUAUACAAAUGCAAAGAAAAGUUGCAAGCAAACUCUAGAAAAAUCCUAGGUUUGCCAUUGUUUUUUUUUUAUUACCAAAAUGCCCCUCUUGGCACCAAAAUGCAAGGUCAUGUGAUAAUUCUGCCCAUUGAUUGUAUCAAUGCAAUCAAUGAAUGCCAUUUGUAUCAUAGUUUCUUCUAUAAAAAAAUCACAAUGAUUAUACAAAUCUUAUGAUGCAUUCUUAAGCAACAAUAAAUAAUAUUUUGUUUGCCUAGAUAAGAAAACAAUAACUUCAUUGUCACUCUAUACCUAAAGGCUACAUCAAGGUGCAAUCUAUGCACCUUUAUCGCCACCCUAUAGAUAAAAGGCUAGAUGAUAGACUUUGACUUUAGUCAGAAAAAUGACUAUAUUUCAAAUUUACAAAGAAAAGGCUAUACAUCGAGACAUAAAAGUUGUAAUUAUUAAUAGCAAGAGGGUUUGUCUUNNNNNNNNNNNNNNNNNNNNNNNNNNNNNNNNNNNNNNNNNNNNNNNNNNNNNNNNNNNNNNNNNNNNNNNNNNNNNNNNNNNNNNNNNNNNNNNNNNNNGACAUUGUGGUUGGCCAAUGUCACCCAAGUGCUAUCCUAAUAGCACCAGUUUUUUUUUUUUUUUUUUUUAAUUUUUUUUUUUUUAUAACUAAAACAUAAUAUAUAUAGAGAUAAAAUAGGGAAAGUACUGUUUGGGUUAUAAUAUAUGCUCUAAAACAGUAAAACAUGCAAAGCAAGAAGGAAAGAGAAAGAGUUGACAACGCUGAAACCAUUGGGAAAUUUAGUUCAUCCAUACAGGACUUUUGAUUGAGAUGAACUUCUAUGCCUCAAAAGAGCUAUUUGAUUGUGAUUGAUAUUUUCUUAGAGUAUCUAUGAUUAUCUCAUAAGAUUAGAUUCUUAUCUUAGUAUCUUAUUGCUUGUUUGGAAUAGCGGUGGAUUUGCAUUUUUCGCGUCCCAAGACAGAUAUAACGUGAAAAUGAAGAAGCUACAUUUUGUAGCUUUACAGAAAAUGUACGUUAAGCUUGCAUUCACCGCAAAAACAAACAAGAGCUUAGACUAUCUCUAUUAGUUCCAUAUUUCUGAACUAACGGUAACCAGUAACUAAAACAUACCACAUAUAUGUACGAAUAUUACACGUAAGACAUAAUUCAUUGCCUUUUUCUUUUCUCCGUAAUUACUUGAUUUUAUUGUCCUGUCAAUCAGUUUAUGUUGUAAAUAAUGAAGUUUUAUGAUUAUUAUUAGUAAUUUGUAAUUGUCUCAUUAGUCAUUAGUCAGGCCCAUUAGCUUAGAAUAGCCUAUAUAAACACAUCAGUGGUUGUACAUUAUUUAUCUCUGAAAUAUAAUAUUAAGUUUUCACAGUUUAUUUAUCCAGAGCCUUUGUCAUUUUAUAACCAAUUUAAGAUCUAUAAAAUUGCAGGCUCGUUUAUCGAUCUUUGGGAGGGACUUCAGUGUUUCCUUGAUUUCUCGACGCUCUAGACAUUUUGCAGGGACACGGUAAGUUCAUGGUUUGAUAUUUUAUUUAUAUUUCACAUUCUAGUUCCAUGCAAUUGAAUCAGAUGUUAUGAAAUCAUUGGGAUAAUUUAAAUUAGAUAGCUAUUUAAGUUUCUAUUAUUCAAUUUCAAUUUCAAUUUCUUCCUUAACAUUGUGUUGCUAAAUGAAUUGGAAUAUGUAGUAGUAGUUAAAUAUGGAAUAUUCUUUGUUGUCAUAAAUUAUCUGUAUUUUGUAAAGUAUUUGGUGUACAGUGUCUAUUUGGCCAUAAUGAAGUUGUUGGAUUAAUUUUCUUCAUCAAGAAUUAUUUUUGUAGUUACCUGAAAAGGGGAGUGAAUGAUCGAGGGAGAGUUGCUAAUGAUGUUGAGACAGAGCAGAUUGUCCUUGACGAAGAAGCUGGCUCCUGCAAGGGCAAAAUGAGUUCAGUUGUGCAAAUGCGUGGAUCAAUACCACUUUUCUGGUCACAAGAAGCAUCAAGAUUUAGCCCUAAGCCUGACAUAAUUUGUAAGAAUACAGUUGGGAUUAAUAUUAAUCUGUUCAUUGUUAAAUUGUACGCUGUUGUAACACUUUCCUUUCGAUCUUUUGCUCCCCCUGUUUUGACUUCCAGUGCAGAGAUACGAUCCAACAUACCAGGCAACAAAAUUCCAUUUUGAAGACCUUGCUCAGAGAUAUGGCAAUCCAAUUAUUGUCCUUAAUUUGAUCAAGGUAAUUCCUAAUAAAAAAUAAUAAUGAAGCUCACAAAUACUAAUUAUUGUUAAUAAUGAAGCUCACAAAUACUAAUUAUUGUUCUUACUUGUAGAAAAAAGUAAUGUUCUUCCAUUUCCCCAUCCCCAUUUCAGAAUAGCACUUUCCCAUGGUUUUACAAAAUGGCUUCUCAUUGGGAAAUUUAAAUUUCAGUCUAGAACUUUUUUUUGUUCACAACAGCUAAUCUUUAAAUAAAAAAUGACCAAAGAUCUGAAUGAAAUGGACACUGCCUAAAAAUGAAGCAUAUAGUAUUUUAUCCAACGUUCUAUACCAUAAAAUCUUCUUUUGGAUAGGAUUCUUUGCUUUGCUCUGGUUCCUAGCAGUUUAUGGUCAGUAUUUUUUUUUUAAAUUGGUUUCUUGGUGCACAUCAAGACAAAUAAGAGAGAUAUUUUGAGCUAAUGCUGAAAGUUUCCUUUUUGGUUGCUGAUGUUAGGAUCCCUGAUAAUGCGGUCAUGUUUAACUCCUCUCAAUAAUUUCUUUAAGCAAAAAUGGUCAUAAGUUUCGAAAUAAUACCACGACAACAAUUUCAUAAAAAUAAGUUCGUAAUAUUACUAUUUCUCUACCUUAGUUAUCUAAAACCCAUAAACUUCAACAAGAAUUAAUGUUGAUCCUUCAUUUUUUUUCUCUGGGUUUAGUAGUGUGGAAGCGAUGAUUUUUUAUAAAAGAAGAGAAAUAAUAAGAACAUUGAGUAUGAUAACGGUACGAUAUGAUUUAUAAUAAAUUGAUAGUUGCUUAAUACAUAUGAGAACAAAGUGCUGUUGUGAAGAAAUAAGGACAGCAAGAAAUAAAUCAUAAUAAUAACUCGGUAAUCAAGAAAUAAAUCAUAAUAAAUCAUAAUCAAAUGGUGGGACCCCUUUCCGGACCCUGCGUAUGCGGGAGCUUUAGUGCACCGGGUUGCCCUUUAACUUUUGGGAAAAUCCAAAGUCUCACAUUGAAUAGUGAUAAGGUCUGAAACGAGUUUAUAAAGAGUGACAUUCCUCAACUUACAAGUCGGUUUUUGAAGGAUGAGUUAGACUCAAUAUAAAACUUAAUAAUAACCUGAGAUAUUCUAAGAUUAGAAAUUGAUCUUAUACGAUAAACUAGAUUUUUUCCCUUUUUGCAUACUUAUUUCUUCAUUGAAAUAUUCUCUUUAUAAUUUUUGUGGCUUAUUUAAAUGAUAAAUUGUAGACAGUUGAGAAAAGGCCUCGAGAAAUGAUGCUGAGGCGUGAAUUUGCAAAUGCUGUUGGGUAUCUGAACCAAAUUCUACCAGCAGAGAGCCAUCUUAGAUUUAUUCACUGGGACUUUCACAAGUUUGCAAAAACGUGAGGAAGCUUUACCAUAUUGUUCUUCAAUACCAGUCUUUUCAUUUUUUUCUGCAGUUCUAUUUUAAAUCUGACUAUUCUCUAUUAUGCUCUGCUGUUUUCAAAGCAAGUCUGCCAAUGUUUUGGCAGUUUUAGGAGCUGUAGCAAGUGAAGCACUUGAUCUAACAAGUUUUUACUAUAGUGGCAAGCCCAACAUUGUAAAGAGGGCAAACAAGAGUAAUCGAACAAGCACAGCAAGGUAGGAUCCAUUGUUUGAAUUGUUAACUAACAUUGAAUACAAUUUUUUUCUUGUUUUUCAUUUAUGUUUUAGUUGAAUCGUAGCUGUACUGCAAAAAUAUCAAAUUUUUCCGAUGUUGUCAACACAGAUCACACAAUGCCAUGAUGUCUUAACAUGAAUUUUUUCCAAUGGCAUCCCAUUUAAAUCUAAUUUUUUCUAAUCGGUUUGGCCUUUUUAUGGUUCUGUUUCUCCGCCUUGGAUAAUUGGACUAUUCUCCAUCUCAUCCACCCUCAUUUUGCUGGUGCUUAUACAAUUAUUUUCCAUCGUUGCCCAAACCACCUAUGGUGGUGUAAGGUAGAUUAUCAUAUUUUUCAUAGAAGGUGCUACCCCGAUUCCUUAAAAAUCUAUCAUUCUCAAUUCUAUAUUGUUUUGUGUGGCCACUCAUGUAUCACAACAUUCUCAUCUCUGCAUUAUUAAGCUUACUUUGCUGUUUGCCUUUGAGUCACAAGACAACUUUGUCAUGUGUAUUGUAUCGUGGAGAGUGAACAACAGAAGAUAAUUCAUUAAAGGAGACUUUAUUUAUUUUUUUAGUGAAAAUUAUUGACCUAUGUUGAAGUUGUAAGAUUUUAGAUAAAAGGAAAAGAAGAGAGAAAACAAUAAGAACAUUGAAUAUUAUUGAUGAUGACUUGAUAGUAGCUUCCUGAUACUCAAUUGAUAUUUAUAACCAAGUGAUUACUUCAACUCUACAACUAAAUCCAUUGCUUUCUUUCAAAAAAAUAAAAAUAAAUCCAUUGCUUAUAGGAAUAAUACUAACAAACCCAAUCAGCGAUAUUUACUCAACAUAAUAUAAUUUAAAUCUAAUAAUAUCUUAACAACCUACAAGAGCUCUAACUCUUCCCUUGACUUGUCAUGGUGGGAGACAACAUCGGGUUGUCCAUCAUCAUGAUUAUUUUUAUUAUUAUUAUUAUUUAGAUCCAAAUGUCAUCAUUUAAUCAAUAUACCUGACCGUGCCUAGUGACAUACGGAUUGGUGGUAGUUUGUCAUUGGUGGUGUGAUUAGUGUUAAGUCUGGGAGAUUCUUAUGUUACAAAACGUUGUUGAAGUUUUUAUUUUGUAUGUGUAAAAAAGCAAUAUGUUGCUCAAGAGAAAGAAAAUUAUAUUUACAUUUCAACAUCUCCUUAUACAGGGAUGCUUCGUUGAGAGAUCUGACAGCUAGUUCUGGAGAUCUUGCAAGGCUUGGAAUCAGUAGUGAAGUGCUAAAUUCUAUGGCUAAUCGAGAUAGAGAGACUGACAUGAAUCACCAGAACAAAGAUGAUUAUUUUAAUAGUGAUACACCACAUUUUCAGAGUGGAGUCCUACGUACCAACUGCAUUGACUGCUUGGACCGUACAAAUGUCGCCCAAUAUGCUUAUGGCCUACAAGCUUUAGGACGCCAGCUCCAUGCAAUGGGUUUGUCUGAUGUGCCAAAAGUGGAUCCUGACAGUAGUAUUGCAGCAGCUCUAAUGGAUAUGUAUCAAAGUAUGGGAGAUGCUCUUGCGCAGCAGUAUGGUGGUUCUGCAGCUCACAAUACUGUAUGACGUAUUUUACAUGAUUUUAAAUUGGCGUAAUCUGUAGGAUAAAGUGUCUAAUUUUCUUAUUUGUAUCUUACAUUGAUGUGAUAAUAGAUGUAUUUUUUGUGAAUUUAUAGGUGUUUCCAGAGAGGCAGGGAAAGUGGAAAGCAACGACACAAUCAAGAGAAUUUUUAAAAUCCAUAAAACGAUAUUACAGCAAUGCUUAUACGGAUGGUGAAAAACAAGAUGCAAUAAACUUGUAUUAUUCCUUCCACCUAUUUCAUGUUUCCUAAUCGGAAUUUAUAUCUCAUCUUUAAUAAUAUUGGGUUUUUUUAGUUUCUAAUAUUUAGAGGGUCUUGCAACUUGUGCACUUAGGGCACAUGUUAAGUAACUCAAAAUUAGAAAUUUUGCAUUGAAAAGAAUAAUUUUUGUACUUUUAAGAAUUUGAAUACACGACCUUUGAGAUUGAAUUACCGUGUAGUUCUUUAACACGUGCACUUAGGGUACAUGUUAGCAUUUUCCAUAUUUAAAUUUAAAUACUUUAGCCCGUUGUUAAUUUUGUCUUGAAUAGUCUAAAAUACUGAUGCCAUUGUUCCAUUGCCAGAUUCUUAGGUUACUUCAAACCACAGGAAGGAAAACCUGCUCUAUGGGAGCUUGAUUCAGAUUAUUAUCUCCAUGUAUCUGGCAUUGGAGAUGAUCUUUUUCCUGAGAAGUUGUGAGUCCUCCUUGUUACUUUCUUUAUUUAUGAGCAUUCCACUUUAUUAUUUAAUGAUUUGUGCAGUGUCUAUUUUUAUUUAUUUAAUUAUUUUUUAUUUCCAUUUUAUGAUUUAGUUUCCUUAGAGAGAGUAGAUUCAUAAUUGUGAUUAUUUUCAAUCCCUACGUGCGGAGAUUUCCUUAUAUGUACGGCACUACAGUGUUAAUUUCGCAAGUGUAUCAUUACAUACUCAAAUAUGAGAAAUUAAUUUGUUUCAAGUUGUCAUCAGAGCACAAGGUUUUGAUCUAGCAAAGCCGUCACCCUAAAUCCUCUGGUUACGCCAUAUCCUUGGGAGUUAUAUAUGUCAAAAUAUAACCUCCCUUCAAGUUGGUCCUUAUCCUGUAUUUUGUUUGUACUUCCAAAAAAAUACGACCUCCCUUCUGUUAGAAGUUAUAUAUGUCAAAAUCCAUCCCCGAUGCUUCUAUAAUAUGUUAAAUUUGAUCUUGCUAUUCCCAUCUUUUUUAUAUACUGUAUAUUUACCUUUCCGAUCUUCAAUAUCUUUUUCAAAUCUGCAGUUGUGAACCAAAUCUCAAGUCUUCUGGGAGAGACGGAACAAUCUUCACCCCUGUACCAGCUUGCAGAGAUGAUUUCUCACGCAUAAAGCUGACAUCAUUUGACAAGUUAAUUGAAAAGACCUGUAGUACAAUUAAAAAUGUAAGGCUUUCCUGCGAACCUGAUCAGAAGCCAGGUGGAGUUUCUGGAAACAGUGGUGUAGCACCUGAUGCAGCGUAAUGUCUCUUAUUCUUUGUCUCUGUUUGAUGAUUUUAGUUCUGUUAGAAACCUUGAAACAGGUUUUUCAGAGGGAGCGGUGAGAAAAACAGAGAAAGGAAAGGAAAAUUAAUACUUUUGUAGUUUUUAUUGAAUUAAAAAGAACCUAAGGAGACAACUCUCAUUCUAAUGGUUUCCCCUUUUAUAGCACGGCAUAUGCUUAUUCUUCAAAUCUAGAUUUCUGAAUGCCUUCCUUCUAUCUUGCUCCUAUUACGUAAACCACUGUAAUGAACUAUCCAUCCCUUUAAAUAUUCAAAUUAUAAAUAACUAAACUGACAUCGAACUGUCUAACUAGCUCAGACCCUGCUCCGUUUUAUUUUUACUAUAUUAACAUUGUAGAGUGUUUUCUUUUGCGCAUUGUUUUUUAUUUCAUUAUGUGCGCUUGUGAAUACUAAAUUUUUUCCUGUCAUUUGUUUUAACACCGGGUUCCUCUACCUGUGCUUGGUGAUUUAUGAUGACAACAGUUGAUAUUGUUCCCUUGUUAUUGCUUCUUAAUACCUGCAUUACUGAGUUGUAUGGUCAGCAUGAUGUGUUGUCAUAUGCUUUCCCUUCAUUUACUUCAACUUAUUUUUCUCUCAAUGCUUGGGAUUCUUAAUAUGCACCAUUAUUUGUUUUGUUUAAGAAAAUUGAUAUGCAAAAGCAUCAUUGUCAAUUUGAUUAAUUGGAGAUUGUCUUUUGACAUAAUAUUAAAUAGUCCAGAGAAACUUGCAAAGUUUUUGGUUACGAUUUUACCUCAUGCAAAUGGGAAAAUGUUGGAUUUCCUACAAACUUUUACACUCUUAUCCACAAUAUUCAUAGAGUUCAUUCUGUAAAUUACUCCAAUUGACAUUGAACAACAUCUAAUACAAAGGAGCCAUUAAUUUGUUUGUUAAAAUCAGUAUAAUUCUUCACCAAUCUCUUGUUUUUAAAUAUAUUCCCUUCAUUUCUAUACAUGUAAGUUCCUUGCUAAAACUUUAGUUGCAAUGUCAGUUUCCACUUCCCUGCCAACCAUGUGUAGUUUUAGGUGGGAAAUAGUGGGCGGAGUGUCAGCUUGUGUGAUGUAAAAAUAAUACGAGCAUCGUGAGGUAAUUCUUGUUGAUUCACUGCUUGUCUGUUGUGUUUAUCCAGUGAGAUACAGCUUAAAAGCCCAAAUUGGCUUUUUGGCCAGAGAAAGUAUGAAGAAGGUUCCUCUGCUGCAAAAGUUGCUUCUAGUGAAACCGACAUUGAGGGAUGUCAUGCUAAUGACUUUUGCAACUUGAAUUGGCUUUCCUCUGGUAAUGAUAUGAAUGAAGAGGAUGUUUUUCAUAGGUAUGUAUCUUGAACAUGGAUUAUCCUUACAAGGCUUUGAUACAUCUUCUAUAUAUCCUUAGAUGUUCAGUGUCCCGUUCUGUUAUUUUUCCUACUUAAUAACAUCCGCACAUCAGAUAACCUCUGUAUAUUUAGUACAUUGUGAUUUGUGAGUUUAGUUUGCAACGUUUUACUGAUGAUGCUUUUCACAUAUCCUUGACUUUUUAGGUACUUUACAAUGACCUCAGCAAACGAGUCCAAUGGUUGGUAUGGAGGCACCCUCCUUGGUGAUCAAGAUGAAAGCAGUGAGAUAUAUAGACAUUAUGCUGAGUUAUGUCAGGUAUGUAAUUUCAUGUGAAUAUUAACUAUUCCUACGCCUACCUGAAAAAAAAUGUCAUGGUGGAUCUUGGUGUAGUAAUGACGGGCAGGUUGAAGGUUAAUAAACAUCCUUGGUCUCACUUGCUAUAUAUUCUUCUGUUUGUUUAUACAACAUGCAAGAAAUUUACAACGACAACCAAAGCCUUAUCCCACUAAGUUGGGUCGGCUACAUGGAUGAAAUUACACCAUAAUAUCAUAAAGACAUAAACCAUAUUUUGGUCCAACUCUUUAAUCUUCAAGUCUUUCCUAAAGUUUCUAUAAUAUACAAUAUAAGGAAAUCAACAAACAAAUAAAUAAUGACAUAUAGGUAUUAAUAAAUAACAGAACAUGUAGGAUUUUUGUGUGUUGUGUUAUUACAUCUUAUGCUGCCAAGAUGCAGUUUUUCUAGUAUUUUACCCACACCUUCAUCUACUUCUACAGGGACCUGCCUUUGAACUUUUCCAAGAUGAUCAUGAAAGAGAGCAACACUACGCGGAUGCUCUAAGCAUGAGUUCAUUUGAAAUUAUAAAUGAAGCUGGUGUUGCAGCAGAGAUGGAAGCAGCUCUAAAGGAGUAUGACCAAGUUGGUGCUGACCUUGGGAUCAUUCCCUCAUCUUGUAAAUUCUUCGCCGAUGAUCCAAGUUGGUUGACGAGGUGGUUAAUUGGGGACGAAAAAGUACCCAGGAUAUGAUGAGCUUUUGGCAUGUAUUUGGAAUGAUUGAUUUUUGUACUAUUUGAACUCUUGUUUAGUCCUAUGUAAAGUCAUAGUUAAUGUCAGUUUUCUUAUCAAGUUCAAUUCUUCAUUUUUGUUUUGAAUUAUGACUCUUUUUGUUCCAUACAAGAAUGUCACCUUUUGUUUUUAGGCUUUAUUUAAUUUGUUAGUAUAUUAUAUUAGUUAGGUCACUUGUCCCUUCUGUUUUAAGUUUGCUACUCAAUUCGAUAAACCAGUUAUUAUCGUGUUACAUAAUAACUGAUUAUUCCUAAUGCCUCUUUGUUUAUAACUAAGGCGUUGCCUCUUAUUAAUGCAAGCUUUUCAUUUUAUCAAAAGCUAAUAAAGUUUAUGAAAUCUUAUCUUAUCUUAUCUUAUAUACAAAUGCAAAGAAAAGUUGCAAGCAAACCCUAGGUUUGCCAUUUUUUUUUUUUUUUUUUUAUACCAAAAAGCCCCUCUUGGCACCAAAAUGCAAGGUCAUGUGAUAAUUAUGCCCAUUGAUUGUAUCAAUGCAAUCAAUGAAUGCCAUUUGUAUCAUAGUUUCUUCUAUAAAAAAAUCACAAUGAUUAUCUUAUAUACAAAUGCAAAGAAAAGUUGCAAGCAAACUCUAGAAAAAUCCUAGGUUUGCCAUUGUUUUUUUUUUAUUACCAAAAUGCCCCUCUUGGCACCAAAAUGCAAGGUCAUGUGAUAAUUCUGCCCAUUGAUUGUAUCAAUGCAAUCAAUGAAUGCCAUUUGUAUCAUAGUUUCUUCUAUAAAAAAAUCACAAUGAUUAUACAAAUCUUAUGAUGCAUUCUUAAGCAACAAUAAAUAAUAUUUUGUUUGCCUAGAUAAGAAAACAAUAACUUCAUUGUCACUCUAUACCUAAAGGCUACAUCAAGGUGCAAUCUAUGCACCUUUAUCGCCACCCUAUAGAUAAAAGGCUAGAUGAUAGACUUUGACUUUAGUCAGAAAAAUGACUAUAUUUCAAAUUUACAAAGAAAAGGCUAUACAUCGAGACAUAAAAGUUGUAAUUAUUAAUAGCAAGAGGGUUUGUCUUAUUUGGUUUCACUUUUUUAGCUACACGAUAAAAGGAUUUUGUUGCAAUGCAUUCCAAUCUUUUUUGAUGUCUUUCCACUUCUGUGUAUAGCAUGGAGAAGAUACAAACAAAACAGCAGGAAUAGGUUAUUGUCAAAAACACAAAAUACCUAAACAAUUCAACGAGACUCAAAUUUAUUGGAAGGAAUUAUGCAAAAGAUAUGAGACAUGAUGGAAUUCAAAUCAUCGUCAGGGAAGAAUAUUGAAAAGUUUAUAACAAAAAAUUAAAAUAAAUAAAGCAUCCCUUGAAUUAAUGAUAUGUUGAUGUACAUUCUUGAAAUAUUAGAGAAAUUCUUUCUUUAUUAAGCUGAAACUAAAUCAUUGUAGGCCUGGCAUCAAGCUUUGGCUCAAUAUACCAAGUGAGACUAAAAUAAGUGCAUGUUUGAAAGAGAGUUGAGAUGGGUAAAAUCAAAUGAAGUAUAUAGAAAACGAAGAAAAAAAAUUGUUGUACCUGAACAAUAGUGCACUAUAUUGGAUGAUAAACAAGCAUUAAAUUUUAAUUAGAUGAUAAACAAAAUACAAUAAUUCGCAAGAGAUCAAAUGGUAGUGCAUGUUUGUUAGAUCAAAGUGUCAGUCACCAUAUUACACCUUAGGUGCAAAUUAAGACUGGGGCGACAAUUACUAUCAUCACAUCCAAAGAAUAUAAUCAAUGAACAGAAUUGAAAAAGUGAAAAGCUAUUAUACCUUCACACAGAUCUUGCGAUCGCUUUGGGGUCUUUUGAAAUGUUUGACCCUCUUCUUUAUGAUCUUCUUGGUGAGAAGUGGCACAUCCAUUGUUGAUGAGCUGCUAUGAAGUGAGGAGUUACGUGAAUAUAUAUAAACAUCGUAUCUAGGGUUUGUUACCUGAACAAUAGUGCACUAUAUUAAAGUCGCUAUGAAAAACUGUAAUUUAUUGUGAUUAAAACCCUUAACCAUAUUCAGAUUGUUAUUUCUAAGUUUUACCACUAAGAAACAAAAAUUAAUAGACAAAAAAGGAAGGAAAUCAAGUAGAAAAUCAAAAUGCUUCAUAAACAUAUUUGAAGAAAAGGAUAACAAAAUGAAAAUAGUAUGAAAUAUCUUUCUAUCUAGCACAAUUUUGGUAUGUUCUUUCAUCGAUUUUGUGGAGCAGAGGUAGAUGACAAAGGCUAUGAUGCUUGAAUUGAUAAAAACGUGGGUAAUGCUUGAAAACUCCAUAAAACAAAAUGACCCAUUUUUCGAUUUUGUUCCUCUGAUACAAAAACUACUAACUCUGACAUAAUAUGAUUUUUAUUCCAUGUGACUGAUGAUAAGUGGAAAAACUAUCUAAUGAAUUUUACCAAGAAUGUUCGUUAAUUAAUGUUAUUAUUACUUAUGUAAUCUCUUAAUCAAGUUUCAACUAUAUUAUAUUUAACCUAUUUUUUAUUUACUAUGCUUAUUGUGCUUAUCAUUGACCCGUGUGAAGCACGGGAGCACGAUUUAGUAUGAUAAAAUUUAGAGUAAUAUAAAAUGGAGUUCUAUAAUUUAGAUUUAAAAAAAAUCAGUGGAAUGGGUAUUCCAUUCCCUAAUUUGGUGUGUAUUAAGAUACAAUCCUACCUCUUAUAUUAGACUAUUACUUUUCCCGUCCUAUGAGGUACUCAUGCAUCCUAUAGAAUUUCCCAAAAUGCAUUUCGGAUUAUAAAAUUCGAAAAAAUAUGAAAUGCAAUUUGGAUUAUAUAAUCCGAACUACUUCAAUAUAUAUAAGGAAAAUCACCCCUCCUAUUUUACAGUUUUACAGUUUCAAAUUUUCACUCUCUCUCUCAUCCCAAAAUCCGAACCACAAAAAUCUGUCCAAACUUAAGAGUUUUUUUUUGCUCAAAAUCACCGCAUUUGAAGCUUUAACAAACAUCAAAGUGAAGGUUAGUAGUGACUCGUUAUGCAUGCAAGUUAAUUAGGUCGGUUUUUUUUUCCUGUACACUGAAGCUGUUCGGAUUUUAUAAUCCGAAUUGUAUUGUUGCAGUUCGGAUUAUGUAAUCCGAGUUAUACCAAUGUUAUUUUUUUCCCUUGUGUUGUGCAUUUUAUGUUGAUUGUGUCUUACCCUAUUAUGCAUGUUACAUGUAUGAAUCAUUUGCAUUAACCUCAAAAUCUUUUGCAUUAACCUCAAAACUUAAGGCUCAUACUCAGGAUUAAAAAAAAUUUAACAUUUUCUUUGUCAUCUUUGCAAACUCAAUUUAUGUGUCCAUGUCCUCCUGGGAAACAUUAUUAGGGAAUUUUUUAAAGUGACAACUUGUCAAACUUCCUUAGUGAUGAUUCAAUAUGGUGUGUACAUUAUCACAAUAUUUUAUAGUGUCUUCUGUGUUGCCUUCAUUGGAAUCAAAAUCUACCUUACUUUAAAUUUAUUUCUCAAUUUGUGAUAAUGUUUUAUUGUGUUAGUCAAAUGAAAAUGUGAUGUAUGCUUCCACAAAGAUAUCAAUAUCUUUAAAAUGGUGCUUCUUCUAAUGACUUUGUCAAUGUAAAGAUAGUUCAUGCAACCAGAAAUAUUACAUGAGAGCAAACUUAUUUGAGUUGGACCUUCAUGUUUUCUCCUCUGUCUCACCUCCACUUCAUUGUUUGUAGUUACUAUCAUCAAAUAUAUAUUUUCCAGAGAUUCCAAGUCUUCAAUAAGUGGAACUAUUGGUAAAAUAAUUGUAGAAAAGGUUGUCUUAUGGUACUUUUAUAAGUACAUGAAAAAUAUGACAUUAUAGUUAUAUUUUUUUUUUGAUAUAAAAUAUGGUGAGAAACUCAAAAGUGAAUUUUGAUUCAUAGAAUAAAUGAUGAUGGAUAAAUAUUCCAACAAUCCAAUUCAGCAACAAUUAAAUAACUUAACAAAUGAUAAUAUAACCUCAUUGCUGGACAUCAAUUAAAUGAAUGAACUCAACAUGAACCAAUCAGAACAAAACCAUGGUAUAUAUUUCUCAUAAAUUGAUUCUAUAUUAAAAUUAUAGUAUACCACAAUUAUUAAUAUUUCAAUCCAUGUAAUUGAUUCCACAUUCUUUAAUAUUAAUUAAUAAUCUUCUUUCAAACAAUAUGAUCAUAUCACCACUCAAAUUUGGAAGAAAAAAAAGAGCAUCGUUAAUUUUAUUUUUUUUAAUAAAAGUUUAGGUGUCAAACUUAGCAUUAUUCAAGUAAAUUUUUACUAUUAACAUUAAUAAUCUUCUACGACUAUAGAAAUAAUACACACACACACACACAUGGAAACAUAUGUUAUAACAUAAUUCUCUCAUUUUUUUAAAAAACAAGUCUUAUCUAUUAUAAAAGUAACCGCUACUUUCCGUAUAAAAAAAAUCAACCACUAUUUUUUUAGUAGGGAAAGAAAAAAUAAUCAACCACUACUAACAGUAUCUAAGAUAUUUUAAUCUAUAUGAUAAGUUCUAUUAUAUUUUUCAAAUCCAUAUGCAAACCCUUAUAGAAAAAUGUUUUUAUUCAACAAUAUUUUUUCAACUAAAAAUAAAUUUUACUCUCUUUAGUUGAAGAUAUAUCCUUAAAUAAAUAUUGGAUAAUAUUUCUUCAACAAAAAACGAGUACAUACUUGAUGAGACCAAAAACAAAAUAGAUAGUGAAGGGAAAGUGAAGGAGAAACCAUUGAAUGACAGGCCUGAUAAGUCAGUUCCAAAAUAACCAUUUAUGUUGCUUCACCAAAUACCUAGAUUGUGACCAAGUUUUGAGUCAUUAUUUAUAGACUAAAUUUUGAAUUAAAUUAAUUUGUGUGUCUGAAAUCUAUUUAAGAAACAUUUAUAAACCCCCAACAUAUACUAAGGGAAAAAAAGCAUCAAUCGAUUAAUUAUAUAUAGUUUUCAUUAAACUACGUUUCUUUGUCUCAUUAUUAUAUAUGCAUUUAUUUGCUAUUCUUUAGUUUAUUGAUAUUUAUAUUUUUGCAAAUUGUAGAUGUGGACAGAUGCUAGACCAAAUUCCAUACACAGACAACCUAACGAAUCUGAUCAAUAUUCAUGUCAAUUUCAUGUAAAUUUCUACGAUGAUCAAGGUUCACUUGGUACAAAGUUAAAAACUCUGAAUAAAGAGGUCAAUGUAAUUGGAAUAUAUCAAAUUUUCAUCCUCCAAAGACUUUAACAAAAUACAUGUGAAAGAUUGUUAAGAAAACUGAUAGUUAUGAAGUUAAUCCCAAAAAUUAGGAUUCAUCACAAAUACCGCUCUUUAUUGCUAUAAUCUAAAAAUUUUUUUUGCUAGGCAAGGAGAGAGGACAAACAUCAAAAGGAAACACCGACAUCCCAACUAAGUUGGCACCCUGGAAAACCCCCAUUCUAUGCUGCCAAACUCUAAAAUUUUAUUAAAAAAAAGGGGAAAAUAUAUACAAGAAGAGGGGACUAUGCCAAAACCCUAAGAAGAAAAUAAACAGAAAAAGCUAAAACAUACUACAACAUACUAAGGAAACAUGUAGUUAUGCCAUCUAACUCUAUCACGAAAGAAAUCCAAAUGCAUGCAACUCCGUUGGAAGAGAGUCCAACCAAACAAAACCUUGAAUGGCGUGACCCAUAUUCGCUAAUCUGUCAGCACAAUAGUUACCUUCGCGAAAGAUAUGGGAAGAAAUAAUCUGACCUCCAAGGCUACGAGCAUUAUGCCAUCUGUUCCAUAAUCUAGAUUACUUUUCAGAAAAUUUUAUCUAAUCUUUCUUGGUGUGUUACCACAUCUUUUUUAAAGAAGGUUUCGUUCAUUAUAUGAUUUGUGCACAACAAGGUUGUGUAUCAAGUUAUGGUAAAUGAUACUGAUAUUAGUAGUCCUUCUCUCAUGAAUGUUUUGAACUUCAAAUAAAAAAACGGAUCACUAGUAUCUAUUGUUUCACAAUUCAAUCAUGAUCAUGACCGAAAGGAAGGUGCAACGCGGCUAAUGUCAAAGACCUUCCUUGACACUGGCUGCAUUGCAUCUUCUUCUCCAUCAUAAUCAUGAUCAAAUUGAGAAAAAACAGGUAGCAGUGAUCCAUUUUUUGAUUUUAUGUUCAAAACAUUCAUAAGACAAGGAUUACUAAUAUCAAUAUUAUUUCCCAUAAGGUGAUACAUAACCUUGUUGUGCACAAAUCUUAUAAUGAAAGAAAUCUUCUAUAAAAAAUAUGUCGUAAGAAACCAAGAAAGAUCGGACAAAAAUUUUCUGAAAAUAAUUUUGUGUGAGCUAAAAUAAUUUUGAAGAAAUGGAUACCUUUGUGGAAGCAUAUAUCACACUUUGAAUUUGAUGAGAUGGAUGAGAUUAAUCCAUUAACAAAACUUUAUAAAUCAAUUUCAAGUAUUGUAUUUUUUGAAAAUUGAAGAAGUUUGGAGAAAUGUUUGUGUUUGGAGCAAUUUAUUCUCAUUGAGUUAUUUGGGUUUAAUAAACUCAAUUGAAAAUCCUAUUCUUAAAUUUUUUUAAGCUUGAAUGGUUAGUGAGAUUGAUGCUUAUGUUGCGAAAUUUCAAAUUGUGGUGAUUGUUAUAUUUAUUUAUAUUCACAUGUAAUUCAAGACAACUGAAAAAAAAAUAUAAAAAAUUAUUUGUCUAUUAAGUAAGGAAAGUAAAUAAAAAAUAUAAAAAACUAAUUAACAAAAUCAAGUCAAAUUUUUAAUAUUAAAUGUUUUAUAUUCAUCUAUGAAUAUGAAUGAAUUCAAUGCAAUAAAGUAAGGAAAGUAAAUAAAAAAUAUAAAAAACUAAUUAACAAAAUCAAGUCAAUUUUCUAAUAUUAAAUGUUUUAUAUUCAUCUAGUAAUAUGAAUGAAUUCAAUGCAAUAAAAUAAGUUGACCACAAUUUUCCUUAAGAAAAAGUUGACCACAAUUUUCCUUAAAAAAAAGUUGACCAAUAUUUUUCAAUUAAUUUUAAAAUAUUUUAAAAGUAUUCUCAAAUUAUGUUAAAUUAAAUAAUAAUCAAAUACACAAGAAUAUAGAUAACACCAUAAUAUUUAUGAAACAAGUGAUAGAUACUCGAUCUUUAAGGUGCCAUUUAAUUUGGGAAAGGAGAGUUCUUUCCCACCAUGGGAAAGUUGAUCAUGUCCAUUAGAUUAAAUGAGGAACAUAUUCCUAUCAUACUCUCUCAACCACUAGAUUAUAUUUUUAUACUAUCUUUCACACUCUCUCUUUCAUGUCCCCACACACCCAUGUGAAAGAUAAUAUAAAAAAAAUAAUCUAGUGGUUGAGAGAGUAUGAUAGGAAUAUGUUCCUCAUUUAAUCUAAUGGACAUGAUCAACUUUCCCAUGGUGGGAAAGAACUCUCCUUUCCCAAAUUAAAUGACACCGAUCUUUAAAUUCUCAAUUGUCUCUUACAACCUUCCGCGAUAAUAUUUAAACCAUAAAUUUGAGAUUAUAAGACUAACUUCAUUUAAAAGUAUUCCACAGAAUUAACAAUUAUGUUCUAAAUGUCUUUAUUACUUUAACUACUGUGUUAUUCUAAAUGUUUUUGUUACUUUAACUAUUGUGUAAAGCAAAAUUAAUUUUUCAUGUACAUUCUUAAUUAAUUAUUUAUAAUCUUAAACUCACUUGGGUUGGUCUAGUGAUAUUGACUUGGGAUUUGGAAGUGUGCUCCGACUCAAGGUCCCAUGUUCGAUUAUCUCUGUGCUAAUUUAGAUGGACUAAUUUAGUUUAUUCAAGAAAAAAAAUCAUAAUCUUAAAUAAAUAGGCCAUAAAAAUUUAUUUUUACUAAUUUGUAAGGAACAUAAAAAUAAAAAAUACUACUUAAUAAAUAAUAUAAACCUUUUAGUAUUAAAUAUUCAUAUUAUUGUUUUAAUAUAUGUUAUAAUUACAUUUACAUAUAAAUCAAUCAACAUCUUCAAAAAUGAUUUUUGUCAUCAUAAUGGAAAGCAAUAUAAUAUAUGUAAAAUUUACAAACACUCUUUUAUUUUAGGCCCUAUUUAGUCAACACUUACUUUUGCAAUUAAUGCAUCCAUAUUGCUAUACAAAUAUUAUUAUAUUUAGAUUUAAAAUGCAUCCAUAUUACUAUACAAAUAUUAUAUUUAGAUUUAAUUAAAUCUAAAUAUAAUAUUUGUAUAGCAAUAUGAAUGCAUUAAUUGCAAAAGUAAGUGUUGACUAAAUAGGGCCUAAAAUAAUAGAGUAUUCAUCAUUUCUAUAUUAAAUUCAAUAUUCAUACGUUUUUGUUAACAUAUUUUAUAAUAUACAUUUGCACAUAAAUCAAGUCAAUUUUUCAAUCGACAUUAAGGUAAAUAACAAAUAAAAAAAAUGCUAUUAACUACCUAUUCCUUCAAUCCGAAUGUAAUAAUAUAGAGUGAUGUGAACAAAUUUAAUGGAGAAAUAUAAGUUUUGACCAUAAUUGUUCAAUUAGCAUUUAAAUUAAUUUUAAGGUUAUUUUGAAAUCAUGUCCAAUUAAAAUACAAAAAAAGUGACGACAUAAUAUUUAGACAUUAAUAUAUAUUUGGUCCCUUAACUAUUUUUAAAAGUUCAGUUUGAACACUUAACUUUAAAACCAUUUAAGUUGAUCAUUUAACUUAUGUUGCAUUGGUUAACACAAUUUGAUCAUUUUUGUUUUUUAUUGAUAAACACCAUUAAAUAUCGGUGAUGUGGAUUCAAAAAACUUUAGUUUAGUCUCUUAACUUAUGGUAUAAUUCAAUAUGGUCUUUUAAUUUAUCUAUAAAGUUCAAUUUAGUCUUUAAAAUCAAACAUCAAAUAAUUACAAAAGAAAAUAACAUUGUAAUGUGUCUUAAGUUAACCGAUUCAUUCUUCAUCCCAUGUGACAAGCAUAUGAUAAAACCAAUUAUUUUGACCAAUUUGGAUGAGGAAGACAAUAUUGUGUGGAUGAGAAUUAUAGCAGUAAAUCGGGUUAUCAUUUUAUUCAGCUGAAUUGGUUCUUUAAGUUGUGGUCAUGUUGCAUUUUUGUGCUUCAUGUUAAUUUUAUGAUUGAAUGAACCAUAACUUAUGUUCCACAUCAAGAAUGUCAGCACAUUAUGAGUCGUUGUGAAGCUUCAAAUCAAGAAUGUUGGGUCUUUGUCUAAUUUGGAUAAUUCCAUUGAUUAGACAUUUGAAAUUCCUCUAUUGAAAUUGUAAUUAUAUGUUCAUUCUCUUUGUCCUUGAAGUUCUUUGUUUGUUUCUACACGUGGUCAGAAGAAGAAAAACUGUAUUAUCAGACUUUGAUAGAAACAACUACAGAAGAGGACAAAUCUGACAUGGAGUCUGGGUCCCUCAAGAUCUUCUGUACUUUCAAAGUCCGGAGGUCUUUAGAGUUUGAUGGUCUCCAGAGUCUGAUGUAGAUCUUAAGCUUCUCAGAAACAUCCUUUCUUCUGAUCUGAGGCAUUGACUUCUGGUUGACCUUUCUUCAGAUCUUCUACCAUAGUCUUUGAGCUUCUCUUCUACUUCUGAUGUUCUUAUACAUGUUCAGACCUUGUUAAAUUUUAAUAUAUGGUCCUUUACACUUGAACAUAUAUUAUCAUAUCCAAUUGUUCUUUAAUAUUUUGUUAUCAUCAAAACCUUAGAGGAAUUGUACAAAUUAAUUUUGUUCCAACCUAUAUGCUGAAAAAUAAAGAGAGUAGGGAAGAGAAAAGUAUUCAAAUAGAUUACACUGGUUCCCCUUCUAACCUAACAGUAUUCCAGUUCCAUCACCCCAUGACGCAUCUAACAAUCUUGCUACUUAAUCAAGAUAAAACUCCAUUAUCAUUACAACAAGAAUCUUCACCGAACCCUAUGAUGAAAUUCUCACAAACUUUGAACAAAUAUCUUCACCAAACAAUGUGAUGAAAUUAUUACAACCUUUGAACAAGAAUCUUCACCAAACACUAUAAUAAAAUUCUUAACAAAUGUUGAAGAACUUUUUUGUAGCUGUAUCAAAUCAAAAUCACUUUCAAAUGAAUAUAACUUAAUGCCCAUAAGCCUUUUUGGAUAUGAAAAUAUAAUCAAGGUUACAAAAAUGUAAGUUUGAAAGUUUAAGUGAGAAAAUGACGUUCGAUCUUAGACUUUUUGAAUUUGAAAGUUGGUGAAUGUUGUUUAGAUGUCAAAUGUACUUAUAGAGUCCAUAGAAAACGUAUAUGAAGCAAGACACCAGUUCCAAGGUAUUCCAUGAAUCAUUACUAUGUCGGUGGAAGCCCUAGAGGCCAAUGGUUUAUGUUAAACUUAUGUUAUGUAUCAUGACUUUUAUUAUUAAAUAAUAUAUGGCACUCUUUAUUAUAUUUUUUGUAAUGUUAAUAAAGUCCCUAAAAUAGAUAGUUCGUGCAAUGAUAUAUUAAGUGUGAUUUAAUCAUUAGAUUACAUUAACAUAAAGAACGCUAUUCUUAAAUGUAUCCGUAGUCAAACUUUAAUAUGAAUUAGGAUAAUAAUAAAGCUUCGAGACUAUUAUGUAUGUAGACUGAUGACCACAUCUCAUGAGUCAUAGAUAUGAGAUAUUAAGUCUAUACAUAGGUAUAAAUAAUAUUUAUAUUGGAUUGACCCACCGUUAGAAUACUACAUAGUAUGUUAUGAAAAUGUCAUAAGAUAUUAUCACAGGGAUAAUAAUGUAUAUCACUCAUAGACCUGAAACCACUAUGAUCCGUAGAUGUGUACUCAAGUGCUUUAUUGUCAUUCUAACGUUGUCUGUAAAAGGAUAACCAUAAUGUUGGCUAAUGGGUACUCGAUGAAUCAUGCUGAGGGACAUGAGUGUCCUAGAUGAGAUUUUUCCAUCCUCAUAACAUGAGAUAUAUCUUUAGGCCUCUUGAUGAAAUAUGACUAUAAAGUUGCAUGACCAUGCCGAGUCAAUAUGAGAUAUUGGACUUAUUCGUUAUUCAGUAUAUUUCGGGAUCAAGAAAUAUAAAUAUUGAUCUAUACAAGGGUGGUAAUAUCUAUGCCUUGUGAUUAAUAUAGAUAUGAGGACAAAUAAGUAAUUGUACACAUGAAGGUUUCGUCAUAUCACUUGACAUUCUUGUCACUUGGGUAGCAAUGAUGUGUUGCUAAAUACAUAUCACUGUUUAUAAUAUUAAAUACUAGAUUUAAUAUUAUUGGCAACGUGACUAGAACCUAUGGGGUCACACACAAAAGAAAGGUCAAAAGAGAAAUAUAAGUAAGACUUAUAUGAUGGGUGCGUUUAGAAAAGAACGCUAAUUAGUUAACAAAAGACUAAACUCGCUAUUGGGCUUACGGAAGCCCAAUAGAUACUUCUGACUUGCAGAGCACACUAGGAGUUCUAUAAAUAGAACCCUCGUGCUGAAGUCUUGGUUACAUGUUUUAGAAACCCUAAUUCUCCCAAACCUCUAAUCGCUUGGCUAGCACCAGGAAUUGGAGGAGCAUUGUUCGUGUGGAGGCUCUGCUCCUUGCUUAGCUGUGAUCGUGGUUCACUUUUGCUGCAGUUUGAGGUAAUAUUCAUUCACUGAUUCAUGACAAAUUCGUGAUGAUCCAAGUAAAGAAAAUCAAAAUUUUUAUUCCGCUGCAUGUUUUAGAUUUUCCUUCAUACUAAUUAGUUGAAUCACAUCAGUUCAUCCAAAAAAAAUAUUGGUACAGGUGGUAACUGAUUCCUAUGUUUUGGUAAUCGGUUACACAUUUUCAACGUUAAAAAAAUUGAAAAAUAAAAUUAACUACUAAGUUAUUAUACAUAUUGGGUAAUCUGUUACACAAUCAAAAAUAUUUAAAAAAGACAAUGAAAACCAGUUUUCCAACAUUUUAAAAGCUUGCUUCUCGUAGACUCUUAUAGAGAAUGAAUUGUGAUUAAAUUCAAAUGAACUCGGACCAUACUUACAAUGUUUCACACUAUACAAUCUAAAAGUCUUUAUCUUCAUCUCGCGCCUCCAUAAUUUUUUUUCUUUUGUGAUGUUUUGUUUGUUAUUAUCAAAACCCAACCAAGUCUAGGAAGCAAAUCUUCUUCACAUAUUUAAAUUAUAUCUUUUUUUUUUAUUUUUUUUAUUUUUUAUUUUUACGUUAAAGAUGAUUUUAUUAACAAAAGUUUGGCAAUAAAUCGAAUGCCAAGACUGCAGAUACAAGGUGGAGUCUCUUCGAUCCAUAUGCAAUCUAAAUUAUGAAGAGCAUGUUUAGAUAAAUAAUGAGCAACUUGAUUGGCUUCAUGCCUAACAUGAAAUUUUUUUAAACUACGAAAACAAACACUUAAGCUAAUACAAUCUUCAAUAAUAGAGCCGAAAUAGGUGGAAGAUUGUUGAUGAGUAUUCAACGCCAAGACUACAUUAGAAACAUCUGAUUCUUUUUUUUUUUUGGUUAAGAAGCAUCUGAUUCUUCUAUAAGAUUCAUAAAACACAUGACUUUCACACACUCCAAACCCUUUCGCAUAGCUAUAGCUUAUGCAACCUCCGAGUCUGAUAAAAAAAGACUUGCCAGCAGCUAGCAGCUACGAAACACCUUCAUUAUCUCUUACCACAACACCGAUACCCCAUUUACCCUCCUUUAUCAGACUUGCUGCAUCAACAUUAAGAUUAUAGAAACCACUAAAAGGAGGUGUCCAAUGAACAUUAAAUAUUGGCAAAAUUGGACUCUACUUAGUGCCUCCAACAACACCGUAUUAGCACUCUUAAAAUUCACAAUAGAUCUUUGUGCCUUUUGGAAAAUGACAGUCACAUCAACAUCAGUCCCCUCAAAACAUUUUUUUAUUUCUAGCACAACAUAUAUCAUAACACAAGGCCAAAACAUGAACAAUAAUAUCCUCACCAGCAUCAAUAAUAUUUCUCUCCAACCACUCCGAAAAAGGUACGUACUUGGGAUCAUGCAUGUUAAAUACAACGACUAAAGAGGAAGCAAACCAUAUCUGCUUUGACCAAUGGUACUCCAUAAAAAGGUGUUAAAUUGUCUCAUUAUGAUGCUCACAAAAAACAAAAUAUGGAUCACUACUUAUUCCUUUUUUAAAAAGAUCAUUUUUUACCGAUAGUUUUACAUGUAGAAUCCUCCAGGAAAAAUGAAUGUGUCUUGGAAUACUUUUUAUUUUCCAUAAUUUUUUCCACACUUGGUGAUCAUUGUCCAGCAUUGAGUUAUGGGAAACUUCUACUUCACGCCUUGCCUUUAAGAAAUGGUAUGAACUCUUCGCAAAGAAAAUAGCUGACCGUGAAGCACCCCACACAAAUUCAUCUUGUAAUUAAGAGAGAAAAAUUGGCAAUUGAAGAAUUUGUUCAACCUCAAAAGGGAGAAAAAUGUCAUUAAUUAAAGGGGCAUUCCAACAUCGAAUAUCAUGAUGAAUAAGAUCUAAAACAAACAUAAUAUCACAAUUAGGAGGUUUAGGGGACCAAAUCUUGUGUCCAUUUUGAUAAGGAAGCCAAUUAUCCUCUCAUACGUUAAUUAGACGAGCAUCCCCUGUAACACCCCGUUUUCCCAACAUAAAAAAAAAUCAUAAAAAUAACCAGAGUUACGUUUUCCACAUAAACAGAAUGCUACACUUCUUUUCUUAAAAAUCAUAAACGGAAUAAUUAACUAUUAUCCAUCAAAAAUUUAAUAACAAAAUAUUCAAUGCUUGGCAGCGGAAUUUAUUUCAACAUCUAAAUAGUCUUUGGCACAAAGGCUUCAUCAUAAAUAUCUCAUAGAAAUUCAGUCUAAAAACAUAGUCAUAAACUUCAUAAAGUAACACGUAAGGAAUAGAAAAGCAUGCAACAAAGUUCUCAUCACGUUACGUAUCAGAGCACCUAAAGACACACGUGAGAGAUAGUCCACUCACGACAGCAAUCUAACAGCAACUUAAACUCGAUCACCUGCAAGAUACUCAUACGAAGAGCAACAUUUUCAAGCAGAAGGGGUGAGAUUUCACAUUCAAUAAUAAUAAGCAUAUAAUUCAUCAAAAGCAUUUAACAACUUACACUUCAUCAAUUAAUAACAUUACUCUUCUUAUAAUACUUCGUUAAUAACUCAAUCAACUUCUAAUCAUCAUUAACUUCAUAUUCAUCACAUUAUACACAAUGUCAUAUAGUAACAUAAACAUCACAUCAUAAACAUCAUUUUAUAACAUCAUAUACUUCACAUCAUAAACAUCAUCAUAUAACAACAUAAUCACAUCAUAAACACCAUCAUAAAUAACAUAACAACAUCAAAAUCAACAUCAUAAACACUUCAUUAACGACACAUGGGUAAAUAACAACUUAACAACAACGACACGACUUCAACUCGACAAUGCAACUUAGACAUCUUACACAUCUUGAACCAUCUAGACAAAAUGCAACUACGACCUCUUAAUCAUGCAUGCGGUACCAACCAGAGCAUCAAGCCCCCAACGUAUUGAGCAUAAAUACACUCCCAAGGUAUCAAACCCUCAACUUAAAGAGAAAAAGCUCACAUGACAUCAAGCCCUCAACGUAUUGAGCAUAAAUACACUCCCAGGGCAUCAAGCCCUCAACUUAAAGAGCAAAAGCUCACAGGGCAUCAAGCCCUCAACGUAAAUGAGUAUGCAUGGACUCAACAACUAAAGCAACGACAACCAACAACUUCAACGACAUCGACAACAACUUACAACUUUAACGACAUUGACAACAACUUACAACUUUAACAACUUGACCAACAUAUGCAACUUAAUGAUUUAAUAAUCAAUACAGCAGAGACAACAACAUACAUCAACUUCACAACAUAGCAUCAUUAAUAAUAACAACAUGAAUGAUAUAACAAUAUUAUUUUUCUAUAUCAUACCUAUUCCACAUAAAUAUAUGUAACUCAAAUUAUUCAACAACAACAUACACAUAAUAUAUGUAUUUCAAAUUAUCCAACAAAGAUAUUCACGUCAAACCAAAUUAGAUCCAUCACAACAUAGGUUAAAUACUCUUAAACACCCUAAUUGAACUAAUAGUACUUCUAGUUUUGAGGUUUGGAAUUAUUCCAUAAGUUUUGGAUUAACUUAGAAACGGUUAUGCUGAAUUUUCACUAAGACCUCCUUGGAAUAUUUUCAUCAUAUCUCAAGAACCAAAAAUCAUUUGCACGUAAAACCAAAGCUACUGGAAAGCUAACUCAAUCAUCUACAACUUUCAUGUUUACACCAAAGGCCAAUUUAAAACAGAAACGUGUGAAAAAGACGCAAGAACAUGAAACAAGACCUGUUGUCAGAGAGCAACUCGGGAAAAACCCACCUUUCACCCCAAAAUUUCAAUUUUAACUUCCCUAUGCCCAAAUUUGAUCCAAAAACUUGUGUAACCAUUUAUAUACAUGUUAAGACACUCAAAACCAUAUAAAACAUUGCACUAAAAUUAACCCAUGAUGAACAUCAAUUCUACACAAAUUCAACGGAUUUUCUACUCUAUUAACAACCAAUUACAAUUUCAAAACCUAAUUCCCAAAUUCCCAUAACUACAACCUACAACAUGCUAAACUCAAUUUCAGAAUUAUACAACUUAGAAUUAGAGAAAGUUAGUCCCACCCUUACCUUAAAUAUGAUGAUCGGUCUCUACACUAAAUAACAUAAUAUUUCCACACCAAAUAACAUAAUAUAUUAUACUAAUAAAUACCAACAUAUAACAUAGCAAAAUAUCACUCAUCAAAAUAAAUCGACUAAAUUAUAAAAAGACAUCUAAACUCAAUAAAAUAAAUAAAUAAUAAAAUAGGGCGUUACAUCCCCUACUCUCCACAAACCAUCUUUCUCAAUAACAUCCACACAAGCUUGCAUAAUACUUCUCCACGUAUAACUUGGGCAAUAACUAAUUGAAGCUCUCAAGAAAUUACUUCUAGGAAAAUACCUUGCUUUUAAACACUGUGAGAUUAAUAAGUCGUCGUUGUGCAUUAUACGCCAACCAUGUUUAGACAACAUUGCAAGGUUGAACUGAUGAAAUAUUCUAAAGCCCAUUCCACCUUUCUUUUUUUCCUUACAUAAUGUGUCCAAUUUAAUCCAAUGAACUUUACCCUCACCUUGUUUGGAUUCUACGAAGGUUGUUAGGUUUGUAUUUUGUGAUUGGCCGUAUUUUAUUAAAAUAAGUGUUCUAGCAAGAUGUUGGACAAGAUGUCUCGACAUGUUGGUACGACAUCGUAGUCUGCCUUGUUUCACAUUCUUGGAAGAUUGAAUUUUUGCGUAAGAUCACUGAAGAUUUGAUUGAAGAUAUGAUUCACGCGACUUGUGCUCCAAGAGACCUGUGUUUCUGGAAGCUUCCUUUGCCGGUUUAAUGCUGUCAUGAUGCUAGUUUAUGUGCUUGAUGUAUGGAUACACAUGGGUGUGUUCUGUUUCUUGUGUACUGAUGUCAUACCAGAUGUCUUGACAUCCUGUUGUAAGAAUUUAUUUUUCUCUGAAGUUGGUUGCUUAUGAGAGUUUAUUUCUCGUUGAAAUUUCUUUUGUUGUUUCUGUCAGGCUGGGUUUUCUAUUUUUUGUUGGUGCAUGUCUCUGUUGUUCUGGAUGAUGUUCCAACAUGUCCAUUGUGCGUUAGUUUUGAAGAUGUUUCUUUUGAAAUUAAUGCUGAAGUUUUCUUUUAUUACUUUCUUUCAAGUUUAGUUCUUGUGAUAAAACGAAAGAAAGUGUGAUUUUAUUCCUCCUGUUCUUUUUAUCUGUGCAAGUUUUUGUGGUUAUUAAAGAUGUGCUAUGCAAAGGUUGUUUUAGCCAAAAUUUAUCAAAGGGGGAGAUUGUUAGGUUUGUAUUUUGUGAUUGGCCGCAUUUUGUUAAAACAAGUGUUCUGAGUUAACAUUCUCAACAAAUUCUGAUCUCACCUUUUUGUGUGUUGCAGCAUCCGCAUAUGCAUCAAGAGGUUUCUCAAAAGCCUUUGACGAGCCAAUACCCUGUGGAUUCUCUUUUUCCUUCCAAUGUGGAAUUAACGGUUUCUUUGGCACCUAUUUUUCUACCUUUGUCUUGUAUCUCUUUUUUCUUACUGGUGUCCACCACAAGAUCUUUCUCCAUGCCGUUAUCUGUCCCACUAACUUGUUGCGGGUGCAACCAUCGAAAAGUGGAAACAAUGUGACCAAUAACCUAACAAUGUGAGGAAAAAUUAGGAUGCCACUUGUAGGCAACCUCAAUAUUGAAAGCAAAUCCUUCCCUUUCAACCAUUACUUCAUGAAAUAGACGACGAGAAAAGUCCAAAUCCACCAAAACACAUGUGUAAUGACCAAAGGUACGAUUCUUAGUGGUUGUAUCAAUGAUUAGGAGCGUGCCAAAAGCGCUAGCAAUUUCACAGAGUUCUUUCCAACCAAUAUUCUUAUGGAAACUCCAUAAGUCUUAUCCACACUUGAGCUUGUGUGUGUGUGUCGUUGUGUGUGCUUAUUGAAUUAUUUUGUACAUUGAGAUAGACGAAUCAAUCCAGGAUUCAAGAUGUUGAUCUUCAAAAGAUGCGAAGGAAAACUCAUAAAACUAUUUACCAAGGGUGGUCAUCUUCCAAGGUCCUGUUGUUGUCCAAUGUUUCGACUACUUUGUUGUGAUAUCUUUGGCUGUGUAGGGCUUGUCAGUUGUCACCCUUGUUUAGAACAAGCCUUCCAUGUAAAUGACAGCUACAAACUUGUAAUCCCUUGACAUACAUAUCCUCUUUGAUUUUAAUAGAUAAGGAAUCACCUUUAAUAGUAGGCAGUGGAAGUGGGUCAGUAAUGGGAGGUUGAAGAAGGGGAAAUAAUCUGAGCGAAUGAGCGUUGCUGCUGAACAAGAUUUGACAAAGCUAAUUAAUUUUAUACCACACAAGGCCAUGGACAUGUGAAGGUCAUGCCUGGGUCAAAAGAAAGUACCAAAUGCAACACGCAGUAAUUUAUAAUUUCAAAGGCACAUAAAAACAUGAAUGAAUUGGCAACCGUGAAUAGAGAAUUGCUUGAAUAUUGGAAAGUGAACCAAUCCAAAGUGACAAAUAUGGUGAUUUAUGUGAAUGAAUUAAUGCUACCAGUUGUAAAAAGGUGUGUUGAAUUGAAAUUAAUAUGUAGCUAUAUCACAAUCACAUAUGACAAUGAUCAUGAAAAAACAGUUGCAAAAGCAGCGCCGAUGUAGAUAUUUGGAAACCCUAGCAGAGCCGUCAGCCGAAACUACAAUUUUUAUUGAUAACACUUUUGUCCUUGAUCUUCUUUUUUUUUCGAUUUAAUCUUUGAUGUCGUAAAAUGUCAACAUUUUUAUCAUUCUUUAUGGAAAAUAUUCCAUUUGAUAUUUUAGUUGAAUUUGUUUUUAUUUUAGUCAACCCGUAUGUAGAAUUGUGGAGGUGAACACAAGUGAGAUUUGUCCUACACUUUAUAAGGAUGUUAAUUUGGUACUGCAUGUGUUGGAACAAGAUGAGAACAACGCGCCUUUUACUCCCGUUUUGACAAAAAAACAACACAAGGCUCUCAAUAGGUCAGCUUAUAAUACUCAUUCAAAGGGUGAUCCUCCAUCCACUUCUCAAUGAAGAUCUUUCUUUGGAAUAUUAGAGGUAUAGGAAAUUCGGAAUCCUAAACUACACUUCAUGAUUUUUAUCAGAAUCAUAGAGCAGAGAUUAUGUUUAUUGUUGAACCUAAGGUACCUCUUUCGCAUCUUCCUACUUGGUAUUGGACUUCGAUUCAGGUUAUGGGUUAUUGUAUGAAUAAUACAGCGCCUCUUGCUCCUAAUCUAUGGCGCUUUGGGGUCGUGUUAUUUCUCUCUGGGUUAAUAGGCUUUUAUCCCCCUGCCAUUUAGGUGAUAUAUGGUUUACCCCCAUGUAAAAAAAAGUUUGGAGAUC